CCCUCGUCGGGAGAAGUAUGAUGUGUUUAUCAAUUUCAGAGGCGAGGACACCCGCGAUGGUAUUACCAGCCAUCUUCAUGCUGCCUUACUUCAGAAGAAAAUUGAAACCUACAUAGAUAACAGACUUCAAAAAGGAGAAGAAAUCGGACCUGCCCUUCAAGAGGCAAUCGAGAAAUCCACACUUUCGGUGAUCAUUUUCUCACAAAACUAUGCUUCUUCCACAUGGUGUUUGGAUGAACUCGUGCAUAUACUCGAAUGCAAGAAAAUAUAUGGUCAUAUGGUUAUACCCGUAUUCUACGACAUCAAUCCAUCUGAUGUACGAAAGCAACACGGGAGUUAUGCGGGUGCAUUUGCUCAACUUGAAAAACGUUUCAAGGACAAUAUUGAUAAGGUGCACAAGUGGAGGGAUGCUUUGAAGACCGCAGCCGAUUUGUCUGGGUUUGAUUAUUCAAACAAACGCGGGUAAGUAACUCAUUUCUCUAACUUGUAUAAAAUUAUAAAUUUUCUUUAAACUUGUGACAAUUUGAUUUGUCCUAAGAUUUGGUAAAGCAUUACUCUAUUUUAAACUUGGGGAUUGGUGGCACUGUAGCUUAGCUACAAUGCAAUUGAGAGGGGAGAUUUUGGUUUUAGCAAGACUUCAUGGCCACACACUGCUGCAGGUCGAAAAAUUUGUCAUGUAAUUAAAAUCAGAUCCUAAAGGAGAGUGGAAUUUUUUUUGUAAUUUAGAGAACAACAUCACAUCAAAGUAAGUAGCAUGUAAUAUAAAUAAUGGAACAAAAUAGAACAUUUUAAUAGACGGCGUAAUCACAAAAUAUAAUGUCUUCAAUUUUUAUAAGAAACGGAUGUAGCAUAGUUCAGUUAGCUUUUUGAACUUAUUUACAACUCUAUUUACACAUAUUUCCAACAACUCUAUCAGCACAUAUAUGUACAAUCAUAUUUACAAUUCUAUUUACACAUAUACUAAUCAGCCUUUUCGAACUUCCUUGAUCAACACAUACAAUUUUUUUUUGCCCUGAUAGGUCUGCUUCUAUGUUCCAAAUUGAAAAAAUAGAAGUUGUUAGUGUAAAUCAAUGAUAUUUUAGUGAAGAUGAUGGAACAAAAGUGUAAUUAUUGAGGAGAGAUUUUCUUAAUUGCUAAAAGUAGUUGAAUACUCUCUCAAGUGCGUUUAAUAAUAUACAUUAAAAACAAAUAUAUGUUGAUGUACAAAUUUAAGUGUACCGUGAGGAGAAAAAUAAAAUUUCUUAUGCUCAUAAAUAAUUAAAACUGACAUAUGUUAAAGCGUACAUAUAAGAAGAAAGUGGACCUUUUUAAUUGUUCAUAUCACAUUUUCCACUAAGCUGACCACAAUAAACUUUUCUAUCACAAUUCUUUGCAUGCAAGUAUGAAUAAAGGUUAACUAAUGUGAUUAUUUUCAUCCUAUUGUAAAUGGAAAUAUAAACAUUCAUUUUGCUGAAUUGUACACUUGAGAGAAAAAUAUGCAUAAAUGUAGAAAAAGAUUUAUAAGAUCUUAAAAAGUGUAGACAAUGAGUAGCAAUUACCCUUCCCACUUAACUUGUGAACGAAAAGGAGGAAAAAGUAAACCAAUGACUGGGUAUUCAUUUUUUGUGUCACUGUUCUUAUUAUAUUUGAAGCAAGCAACCAAACAGCAUAUGAUUAUUCCAAUUUCGAUCCAACCAUCACAAUCCCCAACCUGAGGGAUUUUAAUGAAUUUAUAAAUCCAUGGAUUUUGAUGGAAUUUAAUUUGUAGAGAUGUCAUGUAAAAUUUUAAUUAACUAUCUAAAAUUCUGAUUGAAUGCAUAUUGAAUUUUAGAGGAUUACUUAAAAUCCUAAUUGAAUAUUCAUAAAUUCAUUAAAAGAAUUAAAAUUAAAAUUAAAAUUUCAAUUGAAUACACCCCCUAAAUCUCACGAUUACCCAAAACACAACGCUAAAAACUUUACUCAGUGAGUCUCCAAUCUAAUUACAACUCUGGAGUAAGUACUUCCUGAAGAAUAUGAACUUAUAGAUAUAAAUAUAUCCAAUAAAGCAGCAUAUGUAGUGAAAUUUAGGAUCAUUUGAUUGAACAGCCAAAACAUUCGAUCUUACACAAAUGAAUACUGCUGCAACCUAUAACCCAUUCAAAAAUUACUAUUGGAAAAGCAGCCAAACUAAUGAAAAGGAGAUAAAAAGGAAAAUACUAAUAUUCACCUCACACGAAACGAGGAGAGAAAAAUGAAAAUACUAAAUACUGAACUAACACAAAAACAAAACGGGAAAACACACAGAUUGCAGACCCUUCCCAUUUGGCAACUGAAAAUGUGUCAUGCCAAUUAUAAUAAAAGUAUACUUGAAAGACGAAAGUGUAAGCAUGCACCAAUAAUUCGAUUUGAACGACGUUGGAUUUAGCAUUCAUCUAUAGACGUCGUCUAGGUCAAAUUUCUUUCCUAAAAUAAUCAUUUCAAAGUGUAUUUCCUCAAUGAGGAACAAUUACAAAGAGAAAAUAAUGUCUGCUUUUUAUUAAGACGCUUGUAAAAUUAGUUAUAGAAUUAGUUAUAGAGUCGUUGUCCAAGAUUUUCAUGUUUUAUAUCAACAAACACUAAAAUUGGGUUACUUGGUAUAUCGACGGUGAUAGAGAUAAUACAUAAGGUUGGAAUGCAUAGGAUGGUGACACUUGUAAUAAGAUUAGAGAAGUUAAUUAUGGUUGUUAGGAUGUAUAGAUGUGAAGAUUCUUGUAUAAAUGCCCUUAUGAUGUAAUAGCUUGGAUGCUAAGAAAACAAAUAACAAGAAUUAGUUUCUCUCUCUUUCUCUCUUCAAGUUUCUCUCGGAUUCUCUCUCUUUCUCUCUCUAGAUUUUCCGCAUUCAAGCUUCUUCUUCUUGGUUAACAUGGUAUCAAUCGCCAUUAUUGCUGCUGCAUUUCUCGAUCCUUGACUCAGCUUCCACUCUUCAACUUCAUCUUCUCCGAUCGUCUUCUGGGAAGCUGUGAUCACUUCCGACGAGCUCCGAUCAGCCUCUUUUGCAAGAUUUUAGGGUUUCACGGAGCUUCUUCUGCAAGAUUCUAGGUUUUCAAGAAAGUGUUCGUCGUGCUAGCUUCUCUUCUACUCGCAGUUCUUGGUUUGAUCUCUGCAAAAAUGGUAACUGCUUCUCAACUUCAGCUUGUUCAGUCACCGAUAACUGCUCUAAUUUCUACAAUUUCUACGCCAGUCAAUGUGAAACUUGAUGAUUCAAAUUAUCUUAAUUCUCAUUUUCAAAUGCAAUUAUUGCUGGAAAGUAAUGGUAUUAUAGGAUUUGUUGAUGGCUCAACCCCUUGUCCUGCACGAUUUAGGUCGAAUUCUGGUGAAUCAGGUGUAAAUUCUGGUAAUUCAUCAACUAUCACAGAAACUGAUGAAUAUACUCUGGAAAUUGCAUGAUCGUGCACUUAUGUAGCUCAUUAUUGCCACAUUGUCUCCAAUUGCUAUGUCAUGUGCCAUUGGUAGCUCUAGUUCCAGGGGAUUAUGGACUAGACUUAAGGAACAAUUCUCCACUGUGUCAAAGACUAGUAUCUUUCAGAUGAAGUCUAACCUCAAACCAUCAAGAAAGGUUCCGAUUAUGUGACACAGUAUUUGCAAAAAAUUUAAGAAGCUCGUGACUAUUUGUCAACCGCUGGUGUGUUUCUUGAUGAUGAAGAUAUUAUUAUCUUGGCUCUCAAUGGCCUACCUCCAGAGUACAAUACAUUUCGUAAUGUUGUGAGAGGUAGAGAAAAUGUCAUGACAAUUAAAGAGUUUCGGUCUCAAUUACUUGCUGAAGAAACAAUUGUAGACAAUCACAUUAAUGGUUCAUUUCUCUCUGCCAUGGUUGCUAAUACUUCUGCAGCUAUGCAUAAAGGUUCCAACAUACCUCAUUAGUCUUUUACCUCUGGUGGUGGUCCAUCAUAUCAUCAUAAUGGGGGUCAGCCAUAUGUUGUGUCUGGAGGGUUCAAGUCUUUUAACGACAAGAACAAAAGGCAAAAACAAAUUUAAUACAGCACAACGAUAUUACAAUCUUCGGUUAGUGUAUCCUACACAAACUCAUGUCUUACCUACACCUACUCCUAGUGUUCUUGGACCAUCUCCAAACCAGUUUGCAAGUCCCUCAUCACCUCCAUUGCAGACGUGCCAAUUAUGUAAUGCUACAGGUCACAUUGCCCCUUAUUGUUUUAAUAAAUCUUCUGACAGACAAUAAUGUCAAAUAUGUGGUAAAUUUAAUCAUACCACAUGGUAUUGCUUUUACAAUGAAAAGGGACCUCAGUUUGCUUCAAGGGCAUGUGCUUCAAUGCAGGGCAACUCCUAUCAUGGCCCUCAUGUGAUGUCUAAUUCUCAGCCAUCUUCUUCACAUUCACAACUGGGUCUGUAACAUCUACUUCUCAGUCACCACAAGUGUGGUUGACAGAUUCAGGAGCUACUAAUCAUAUGACAGCUGAUCUUAACAACCUGUUUCUAGCUUCACCUUAUCCCAAUAAUGAAGUUGUUCAAACUACUAAUGGUGAAGGUUUGAGAGUUUCUCACAUUAGCAUUUCUAUACUUACAACUCCUGUCAAUUCUAUCAAGUUGAAUUCCAUUCUUUAUGUUCCUAAAUUGACACAACUUACUGUCAGUUCAUAGGAUUUGUUUGGAUAACAAUUGCUAGCUAAUCUUUGAUGCAUUUUGUUUCUGGAUUUAGGACAAGGCCACAGGGAGAAUUCUGUACAAAGGGCGUUGCAGUAAUGGACUCUAUCCCAUUCAGUCACUCUCCACUCGUUCUCAUAUACACCAGUCUUCUCAAUCUCCAUCUGUUGUUUAUCUUGGUCAGCUUGUUGGUUCUAGCUUAUGGCAUAAUAGGUCAUGACAUCCAUCCAAUCAUAUAGUUUCAUUACUACUUAAACAAGCUAAUAUCACAUGUAAUAAAGACACAACUUCUGCUGUGUCAAAGUUGUCUCGAGGGAAAAACUACAAAGUAACCAUUUUCUUCUUCCCAUAAUAAGUCUGUCAUACCCUUUGAAAUUGUACACAGUGACCUUUAGGGUCCUGCACCAUGUACUUCGAUUGAUGGCUAUAAAUACUAUGUUACCCUUAUUGAUGAAUGCACUCACUUAUGUUGGUUGUUUCCUUUAUCUCACAAAUCAGACUUUUAUGAUGUGUUUGUUACAUUUUGUGCAUUUGUUUCAACUUCUGUGAAAAUCUUGUAGAGUGAUGGGGGGGGGUGACACUUAUAAUAAGAUUAGAGAAGUUAGUUAUGGUUGCUAGGAUGUGUAGUUGUGAAGAUUCUUGUAUAAAUACCCUUAUGAUGUAAUAGUUUGGAUGCUAAGAAAACAAAUAACAAGAGUUAGUUUCUCUCUCUCUCUCUCUCUCUCUCUUCAAGUUUCUCUUGGAUUCUCUCUCUUUCUCUCUCUAGAAAUAUAUGGUGUUAUAACUUUUAGUGUAUUUUUUUAUUUACAUGAGAAUUUUUUCGACCCGCCUUUAAGACUAACUAUUGCUUUUUUUUUUCUUUCUCUCUACAUAAUCAUACAUAUAUAUGCUAGGACGGAGGCAAAUCUAAUUAAGAAUGUUGUCGAUCAUAUUUGGACAAAAUUGAAUUGUGAACCAUCAUGUGAUUUAGAGGCCUGGUUGGAAUUGAAAGCCGCAUCGAGCAAAUUGAAUCGCGAUUGGGCAUUCAUUCAGAGGACGCUUGCAUCACUAUAGGUAUUUGGGGCAUGGAUGGUAUUGGCAAGACCACCCUUGCUGAAACUGUAUUUCACAGACUCUCUUCUAAUUUCGAAGGUUCUUGUUUUCUACAAAAUGUCAGGGAGAAAUCAGAAAAACCAGAUGGACUAGAUCGUUUGCAAAAUCAACUUCUGAGUGAGAUAUUCAAGGAAGAAUGCCUAUCCAUAGGAUCACCUGGUGUUCAAAAUAGGCUCAUCCGCACAAAGGUCCUCAUUGUUCUUGAUGAUGUGAGUAGCUCAAAGCAAAUGCAACGUUUAGCUGGCGAUCAUCUUCGGUAUGGCACUGGAAGUAGAAUCAUUAUCACAAGUAGAGAUAGGGGCACACUUAGACAAACUGUUGAAGAGGAUAAUAUCUAUGAGGUUGAGCUAUUAAAACCAGAUGACGCUCUUCAGCUCUUCUGUUUGCAUGCUUUCAAGAAUAACACUACUCGUAGAACAGAUUAUAAGGAGUUGGCAAAAAAGACUGGGGGUUAUGCCAGAGGCGUUCCUUUAGCUCUUACAAUUCUAGGGUCUUUGUUCUUCAAUUGCAAGAGCAAAGAAGACUGGGAAGAUGAAUUCAACAAAUUGAAACAAUUUCCCAAUGAAGAUAUCCAGAAAGUGUUGAGAAUAAGUUAUUAUAGAUUGGAAGAAAAUGAGAAGCAGAUAUUUCUGGAUAUAGCAUGUUUUCAUAAAGGGAAGGAAGUGAAGGAGGUAAAACGAAUGUUAGCUGUUCGUGGAUUCUUUGCGACAGUCGGAAUUAGAAUUCUCAUUGAUACGUCUCUCAUAUCAAUUUAUUCAGAUAAAUGGAAAGGGGAAAUCAUAGAGAUGCACGAUUCACUACAAGAAAUGGGAAGGACAAUUGUUCAAGAACAAUGUAUUAAAGAUCCCGGUAAACGAAAUAGGGUUUUCAUAGAUGAGGAUGUCUAUCGUGUGCUGAAGAGUAACACGGUAAGAGCCAAAUGCAUUCAAUUUUUUUUCUUUUCUUUUUUAGGAAAAAAUAAAUAACAAACUUUAGAUGAUAACAAAACAAAGUAAAACUCAUUUAUAAUAAAGAAGUCAGAUUCUUAAAAAAUUAACUUGAUUGAAUUUUUAUUGCAAAAAUGUUAUUCUUACUAUCUAUCUAUACUAUCAUUUGUACCUUCUCUCUUAUAGAGAUGAAACUCACAUGCAUUGGCGGGUUCUACCUCUAUUUGAAAGAUGAUACAACUAGGUGGUAAGAAUAACACUACUAUUUUUAUUUUGCUAGGAAGUCUGUAAUUUUUAAUAUAUUAUUACAUCAUCACCAUCGUAAGUACUCUAGACUAUUCUAUAACUUUGUUGAAUUCUUUUUCCAAAUAAGCAUUACAUCUUAACAUCGUUGAAAAUAUAUACAUUUAAACUUUGUUCUUAUUGUCAGGGAACUCCAAUUGUUGAAGCUAUAUUGCUUAACUGGCAUAACAGUGAAGUGCGACCAUUGAAACGUGCAGACUUCAAACUGAUGUCAAACCUAGUAGCGCUAAGUGUGCAUUCUCGAAUAUUUGACUGCAAAUCCACCGCUUCUCUAGACCUUCCUGGUUCUCUUCGUUACCUUUACUGGAAUAGAUAUCCACUGGAAUCUUUGCCGUCAAAUUUUUCACCGGAAAAUCUAGUUGAGCUUCAUAUGCCAUGUAGCGAAGUUAAGAAGCUUUGGAAAGAAGACCAGGUAUAUUAUAUGCCUAUUUUAAUUCUUGUAUAAAAUUAGGUGUAGAAAUUAUAUUAAAUCUUGAUAUUUCUCUCUACUCUUGUUACAGAGACUUGUGAACUUAGAAGUGAUCGAUUUGCAGUACUCUACAAAUCUCACUGAAGUUCCAAAUCUCUCUGGGAGUCUAAAAAUUGUGCACAUAGAUCUCUCUGGUUGUGGAAGUUUGGCUGAAAUUCCAGGGUAUUUUCAAGAUCUUGGCAAGCUUACUCAUCUUCAUCUUGCACUCUGCACUAGUCUCAAGUAUCUUCCAGAGAUGCCAGGAAAUAUUAAAUACUUAGAUUUAUUGGGCAGUGGUAUAAAGGAGUUGCCCCAAUCAGUUUGGUCUCACGAAAAAAUUUCUUACUUGAAUAUAAGUCAUUGCAGAUACCUUGAGAAACUUCCAAGCAACAAGUGUAAACUGAAAAUCUCUGGUUCUUUUAAUCUAGAUUGGCACACAUCUCUUGGCGAGUUUUCUGAGCUUCCCAGGGAUAUAAGUAAAUUAUCAUUGGUUGGUUGCAAGAGACUUGUGAGUCUACCAACCAACAUUUGGAAAUUGAAAUAUCUUGAGGAACUCAAUCUCUCCAACUGCUUUAAACUUGAAAACUUCCCAAAGAUUUUGGAGCCAAUGGAACAUUUGAAGUCCUUAAAUUUAAGUGGAACAUCAAUUAAAGAGCUACACUCAUCAAUCGAGUUUCUCCCUGCACUCAAAAGAAUUCAACUACAAGGUUGCAAAAGGUUUUCAAGUAUCCCAAAGAGCAUUUGUAAGUUGAAGUAUCUUGAGGUACUCGAUUUCUCUUUGUGCUCCGAACUUGUAAACUUCCCAGAGAUUUUGGAGCCAAUGGAACAUUUGAAGUCCUUAAAUUUAAGUGGAACAACGGUUAAAAAGCUACACUCAUCAAUCGAGUUUCUCCCUGCGCUCAAAAGAAUUCAACUACAAGGUUGCAAAAGGUUUUCAAGUAUCCCAAAAAACAUUUGUAAGUUGAAGAAUCUCGAGGUACUCGAUUUCUCUUUGUGCUCCGAACUUGUAAACUUCCCAGAGAUUUUGGAGCCAAUGGAACAUUUGAAGUCCUUAAAUUUAAGUGGAACAACGAUUAAAGAGCUACACUCAUCAAUCGAGUUUCUCCCUGCGCUCAAAAGAAUUCAACUACAAGGUUGCAAAAGGUUUUCAAGUAUCCCAAAAAGCAUUUGUAAGUUGAAGAAUCUUGAGGUACUCGAUUUCUCUUCGUGCGCUGAACUUGAAAACUUCCCAGAGAUCUUGGAGCCAAUGGAACAUUUAAAGUCCUUAAAUUUAAGUGGAACAUUGGUUAAAGAGCUACACUCAUCAAUCCAGUUUCUUCCUGCGCUCAUAAGAAUUUAACUACGAGGUUGCAAAAGGUUUUCAAGUAUCCCAAAGAGCAUUUGUAAGUUGAAAUAUCUAUGUCAUUUAAGAAAAUUUGGGAGAAGAAAAAAAGCCUCGUUGUAAGACCUAGAGAGCAGAAGCAAUCCUACUGGCUACUGCUGUGGUAUCAAAGAUCUGUGUGAUCAUUAUGUUUCAAAGAUCUUUUCAAAAUGAAUCUAAAAUUCUGGACUAACCUCUACAUGCUACAGAAAGGGUCUUUACAAACCUUAAAAAAAAGCACAAAAGACAACUUAUAGGUAGACACCAUAAAUUUACAGGUUCAGGCAGCUCAUCUAGCUUCCCAUACUUGCAAAAUCCAUCAAUAAGUCACGGGUCUCUUUAACCUGAUGUUAUUGGUUUAGUUUAAGAAAGAACUAAUUUAGCUGGCUAAAAUGACUAAAGUAGUGAACCUAUAAGUGGCCAUGUUUUAUCAUUUCUUAUAUUCCUGAUAGUUUAGCUGGCUAAAAAAACUAAAUAGUAGUGAACGUAUAAGUCCUUCGCGAGUUUUCUGAGCUUCCCAGGGAUAUAGGUAAAUUAUCAUUGGUUAAUUGCCAUAAACUUGUGAGUAGCAACAAAUAUUUGUAAGUUGAAAUAUCUCAGAGGAACUCGAUCUCUCCUAUUGCUUUAGACUUUAAAACUUCCCAAAGAUCUUGGAGCCAAUGGAACAUUUGAAGUCCUUAAAUUUAAGUAAAACAGCGGUUCAAGAGCUACACUCAUCAAUCCAGUUUCUCCCUACACUCCAAAUAAUUCAAUUACAUGAUUGCAAAAGGCUUUCAAGUAAUCCAAAGAGCAUUUGUAAGUUGAAAUGUCUCAAGCAUCUCGAUCUCUCUUCGUGCUCUGAACUUGAAAACUUCCCCGAGAUCUUGGAGCCAAUGAAAGAUUUGAAGUUCGUUUAAGUGGAAUAGCGGUUCAAGAGCUACACUCAUCAAUUGAGUUUCUCCCUGCGCUCCAAAUAAUUGAAUUACAUGAUUGCAAAAAGUUUUCCAAGUAUCCCAAAGAGCAUUUGUAAGUUGUAAUAUCUAAGUCAUUAAAUAGAAAAUUUGGGAGAAGAAAAAAAUUGUUGAUUUCAUUCUAGGUAAAAAAAAAAAAGAAAAAAAAAGUCCCGUUGUAAGACCUAGAGAGCAGAAGCAAUCCUACUGGCUGCUGCUGUGGUAUCAAAGAUCUUUGUGAUCAAUAUGUUACAAAGAUCUUUUCAAAAUUCUGGACUAACCUUAAAAAAAGCACAAAAGACAACUUAUAGGUAGAUACCGUAAAUUUACAGCUUGAGGCAGAGUAAGAUAGCUCAUCCACAACAAACCAAAAGGCACUUAUGCGGAAAAAAAAAAACUUCUGACUGAAAGAGUUUUCAAGUAACCAUUUAUCUUAUACGUCAUAAAGAAAAUUCGCUUUACAAGAAAUAGAAAGCAUCAUGAUAAGGAACUACCGGACACUGUGGUGACUCCUUAACAGACAAGUCCGCCAAACCAUUUAAUAUAAGAUACACAAACAAAAAAUCCGUUCAAGUAGUUGUACAUGAGUUCCAAUAUAAUCACAUUUUCUUAAUUCAAUCCUUUGAAUAGUCAAUAAUGGCUUGAAGGUCCAUGCACAGAUGCAACACUCAUAAAAUCAACAUGCAGAUUAUACAGAAACAAAUAGACUUGUUACUGUGCUUCCUUAAUUGUGUAUGUGCUCGCACAACACAAAAUGUCACAUUAAAUUCAACACUUUUCAAAAUUAAAACCAUUAACAUAGAAGAAGUAGUUCAAUGUUUUAUCUAUUCAAUAUUUCUUAAUUGCAAAUUAGAUGUUCUCCGUGCACAUUUCUUAGUUUGAGGUUUAUUUUGUUUGUACCAUACUUGACCAAUCUUGAAACUAUUGAGCACCGGUCAACGUUAUACCGUCAAGGAUCCAGAAGAGUUUCCCUCAAACUAGGAGGCCAAUCAUAGCGCGACAUGUGUCGACAUCAGAAGCCAAUUAUAGCGUGACACGUGUCAACAUCAGAAGCCAAUCACAACAUGACACGUGUCAAUGUCAAAACAAAGCUAGAAACUCUCUUCUAUAAAAGAAGAUCAUUCUCCCACAAUAUUUCCUAAUGUCAUUUGUACUAAAUCAUUCACUAGUACUCACUAAAGGAGAGCUUGAACCUAUGUACUUGUGUAAGCCCUUCACAAUUAAUGAGAACUCCUAUACUCUGUGGAUGUAGCCAAUCUGGGUGAAUCACAUACAUUUUGUGUUUGCUUCCCUGUCUCUAUCCAUUUACAUACUUAUCCACACUAGUGACCGGAGCAAUCUAGUGAAGGUCACAAACAUAACACUUUCUGUUGUACCAAAGUCCCCACUGAUUUUGUGCAUCAACAUUUGACACCGUCUGUGGGAACGACACUUAUUCCCACUCUCUUCAGCUUUGUUAAACUGGUUUCCACCAUUCAUACACUCUCUUUUGACCAGGCAUCCUUCUCCAACAUGGGGAGCGAAGGAAGCCAUAGCACGUAGAAUGACACCACUCUUGCACUUGGUGCAAGGCAAUGAAAGAAGGAAGGAGAUAGGGUUGCUCUUCAAGCCAAAGUCGAUGAGUUAGAAGCUCAGAACAACAAGAUAGCAAUGAAGAAUGAGGUCUUCCAGGAGCAGUAUGAGAAGCUCUUUGAGACGCUUCACGAAACUAGGCGUACUCAAACACAUGAGCUCCUUACCCCUAUGGACAUCAACCAUCAUCUGGGUGCCCCCCAACACGGAGGGUCACCUUCCUUCGACAUGGGUAUCCCUGAUGAGGAGCGAGUUAAUCAUCAAAACAUUGAUCAACAUGAGACUUCUCUCAACCCAGCUACUUCGACCUGAAGCAGGAGAAGUGGAGGAAGACACCUCCUUAUAGAAUGAGUGGAAGGAUCGAAAGCCAUCUUUCGCGAUUAUUGAGAUUUCCUAAAGCAACGUCGAGACAAUCCCAUCCAUGUAAGCUCGAAGAUCAAUGACCCAAAGGUCUCUAGAAGACUCGGUCCCCUCCCAUGUCCCAGGCUGGCUAUUUGGGGAAGGGGCAACAAGUCCUAGAGAAACACAAAGGUAUAGGGGACUCAGAGAUGUUCCGACAGACAUACCUUGGAAGUCAAUAUGGCGAGUCCAGGGAAAAAUCACAUGCUCUUGAUCAAACCUUCAUACUUCUAAGAGGAGAUGGAGAUUUAUGAAAGAAAGCUCCAGUGGUACAUGACUCCACUCAGGACCCUCUUGUCCUAUAGCUCUUUAAAGAAGUAAACAAGUUGAAGGCCGAACGACAAGCUGAGAUACAUGAUUGGAACCAACCUAGGCCUGGCCCUUUUACAAGGAGGAUCCUCGACACCCCCUCAAAGCAAAGACAAAGCAGAAGCUUGGCUUGGAACUUUAUACUGGAAAGGAGGACUCGAUUGAACACCUUACCCUCUUUGAGUCCACCAUGGCAUACUGGAUACACACAGACGAAAAGCGAUGUCUUCUCUUCCCCUCCACCCUCUCUGGCGGAACUCUAAACUGGUAUUGCCGUCUUUCACUUGAGACGGUAGACUUAUUUGAGGAAUUGAGGAAAUUGUUUGUUUCUCAAUACAUUUUCCAGAUCGAUCGCUUGCACUCUACGGAUGACUUGCACAUUAUUCGCCAGAAGCCAGACGAGUCAUUAUGUAUGUAUGCUGGCCGCUUCAGCCAUGAGUAUUCCCGUUGUGCCGAGGCAGAUGAUAAGACUGCCCUCAAAGCCUUCACGGCAGGCCUACGUGAUUGUUUCUUCAAGUACACGAUCAAUGCCAACACUUGGAAGACUUACUCUGAGGUGAUGGCACAUGCUUACAACCAUGCCUCCGCUGAGGCAAGGACAUAUCAAGGGAAACCCUCCACAGCCACCCCUUAUCAGCAAGUAGGGAGUGGAAGCCAUAUCCAACCAAAUGAGAAGAACUCAACCUUCCAAUCUGCAGCGGUGCUUCCCCCUGCCUUACUUAAUACUUCACCAAGUCAACAGACAUAUCAAUCUCAGGGCAAAAGGAAAGAUUUUCAUCCUCACCAGUCUCAUUUUAGUAAAGGAGUAAGAGACACUAUUGCGAUAACCAAGGGUAUCGCCAUGAUAAUGCCUGCUCCUAGGCAGUCAACACAGUGGGCCAAACACGUGUCAGGAUAGGCUCUACCCCGAGGUAUGAGACAUACACACCUUUGAACGGCACAUGCGUGGUCAGUUACCCCAGCAUAGCACACCUGAUACUGAAGCCAAUGCCGAGGCAGUCGGGUUACAAGCCCACGAAGAACACGGGCACAUUUUGCUGCUACCACGAGCAUAACAGCCAUGACGGCGAGAAGUGUAUCACUCUUCGUGAUUAUAUUGAAGCUUUGGCGCGUGAAGGAAAAAUUGAUCGAUUCCUCCUUCACUAUUCAAGGGGUAACCGUAACUAACACCAAAUGUAUGUGAUAUAUUCUAUAAGCGGCUGCACACCCAUAUCCGAAUCUUCCAAUAGGGCCAUGAAAAAUAGCGAACGAGCUUUAAGGCCUGGCCACCAAGUGUUUCACGUGGAAGAUAUCAGGGAAGGCAAGUAUCAAAAGUCUAACUGGGAUCCAAUAUGUUUCUACCCUGAGGAAGAAAGAGGUAUCAUCUACCCUCACAACGACCCACUGAUUGUGGAGGCUCACAUAGCCAACUUUGAAGUAAGACGAAUCCUAGUAGACAUGGGGGUUUCGGUCAAUAUCAUGUUUGCUGAAGCUUUCAGGGCACUUAAUGUAGCUGAACACUUGCUCGAUCGCUCGAUUUCUCCUCUGAUAAGCUUCUCCGGUGAUAUCGUGCAACUUAUAGGGAGCAUACACUUACCUUUCACCAUUGGUACAUGCCCUUACACAGCUACCAUUACCACUAACUUCCUGGUAGUUGAUUGCCCAACGAUAUACAAUGUCAUCUUUGGAUGCUCAUGCAUCAAUGAUCUCAAGGCCAUGGUAUCCACACAUAUGUUAUUGAUGAAAUUUCCAACCUCCUAUGGCAAUGGUUACAUCAGAGGAGAUCAAUUUAGUGCACGGUCAUGUUACAACACUUCGGUCAAGCAACAACACCUGCCUGUGCCCAAGGAAACCUUUUCUAUACAUGACCAAGUCAUAAAGACGAGCCCAGACGAAGCCAACUUGGAUCUUCACGGUGGCAACAGUCAACCCGACGAUCCUCGAGAUGACUCUUUCACCCAACAAACACAACCCGUUGAAGAGUUAGAGAAGGUUUCUAUAUCAAAAGAUUAUCCAGAUCGCAUGGUGAAGAUUGACACCACUUUGUCACCACCCAUUCGGUUGGCAUUGAUCUCUUUUUUGCAAGAGAACAUUGAGGUCUUCGCCUGGUCAUAUGAGGACAUGCCAGACAUCUCUCCCGAUAUCAUAUGUCAUCGCUUGAGUAUUGACCCCAAGACCAAGCCGGUGAGACAGAAGCAAAGAUCUUAUAACGCUGAAUGAUACGAAGCAAUGAAGGCAGAAGUUGAAAAGCUCAAAGGCAUAGGUUUCAUCCGCGAAGUUAAUUACCCAACAUGGGUAACAAAUGUGGUUAUUGUUAAGAAAAAUUCGACCAAAGAAAGUCUCUUGCUCCAAAAGGUCUUGUGGAUAAUGUGUGUCGACUACACUGACAUAAACAAAGGAUGCCCGAAUGAUAGCUUUCCUUUUCCUCUCAUUGACAGACUUAUAGACUCUACGGCAGGGUGUGAACUGCUGAGCUUUAUGGAUGUUUACUCAAGAUACAACCAAAUCCUCAUAAACCCUCCGGACCAAGAACACACAACCUUCACUACUGACAGGGAACUAUAUUGCUAUACAGUCAUGCCCUUUGGCCUAAAGAAUGCAGGAACGAUUUAUCAGAGACUAGUCAAUUCAAUGUUCGCCGAACAGAUUGGGAAGAGCAUGGAAGUUUACGUUGAUGAUAUGCUAGUCAAGAGCAAACAUGCUGACCAACACAUCGCUAACCUAUCUGAAACUUUCACCAUUCUGAAGUGGUAUCGAAUGAGGUUGAACCCUAAAAAAUGUACCUUCGGCGUAGGCUUUGGCAAAUUCUUAGGCUUCAUGAUAAGCCAACGAGGCAUUGAGGCAAAUCCUAAGAAAAUCAAAACAAUCCUCGACAUGAAGGAACCAGUAACUUCAAAAGACAUCCAAAGCCUUACUGGCAAGAUGGCAGCUUUAAUUAGGUUCAUCUCUAGGGCCACAGACAGAUGUGCACCUUUCUUCAAAGCACUUAAGGGAAGUAAGAAGUACAUUACAUGGACUGAUGAAUGUGCCAAGGCAUUCAAGAACCUCAAAGACUACAUGAGUAAAGCCUAUCUGCUCUCCAAAUCUAAGGUUGGUGACACUCUCAUUAUCUAUCUUUCGGUAUCGGCUUUAGCAGUAAGUUCCGUUCUCAUUCGAAAGAAUGGUAAUGUCGAACGACCUGUCUAUUACGCUAGCAAGGCUUUACAAGAUGCAGAGACAUGAUACUCCAACAUUGAGAAAUUGGCUCUAGCAUUGGUCAUGUUUGCUUGAAAACUUCGCCCUUAUUUCCAAGCACACUUCAUCAUCGUGCUUAUCAAUCAUCAUCUUUGACAAAUACUCCAAAGUCCUGACACUUCGAGGCGAAUGAUAAAAUGGGCGAUAGCAUUGGGUGAGUUUGACAUCGCCUACCAACCAAAGCCAGCUGAGAAAGGCCAAGCAGUGGCAGACUUCAUCGCCGACUUCACAUAUCAUGUUGACAUGGUUUCUUCGCCUAAAGAAAUGGUUUCAUUACCCUCAGAAGCUCAGAAAAUAGAACCAACAGCCCCUGCAUGGAGUCUAUAUGUUGAUAGCUCGUCCAACCAAUAGAGUUGUGGAGCAGGACUAGUCCUUACGACCCUGACAAAGUGGCGAUGGAGUAUGCUCUUCAUUUGAAAUUCAAGGUGUCAAACAAUGAGGCGUAAUAUGAAGCCCUCUUAGCAGGCUUACGUUUGGCCAAACACCUUGGGGUUAAACGAAUUGAUAUCUUCAAUGACUCCCAAUUGGUGGUUAACCAAGUCACCAACAACUUUGACGCUAAGGAUAGCUCUAUGGCAGCAUAUCUGGCACAAACACAAUUGUUGCUCAAGCACUUCCACUACCAGAUCACCCAAAUUCCUCGAGCGGCAAACAGUUAUGCAGAUGCUUUGGCUCGCCUCGCCUUAGCGGUGGAAGACAAGAUUGGGAGAAAAAUUCAGGUUGAAUUGUUGGCAGCACUAAGCACCAUGGCUGCGGAAGUGUGCAACUUACAAAGUCCGAUUUAUACAUUCCUUGCUCAUGACACCCUUCCAAAUGACAAAGUCCAAACUAAGCAGAUUUGAUACAAGGCUACCUGUUACUUGAUCAUUAAUGAACAACUCUACAAGCGGGGUUUUAACCUACCAUACUUAAGAUGCCUUACUACCGUAGAGGCGAAAAUUGUCCUUUGGGAAAUACAUGAAAGAGUCUGCGGAGAUCAUGCUGGAUCUCGAUCCCUAGCACACAAGGCUUUUCUCCAAGGAUAUUACUUACCAACACUCCACCAAGAUGCUAUCAGAAUAUCUCGCUUAUGUGAUAAGUGUCAACACUACGCAACUAUUCUUCACUCCCCUCCCUAGCCGCUCACUCCUAUGAUCAGCCCUUGGUCCUUCGCCCAAUUGGGACUUGAUUUGAUCGGCCUAAUGCCUGCAGGGAAGGGUAAGGUCUGCUAUGCAAUUGUUGCAGUUGACUACUUCACAAAGUGGGCUGAAGUAGAACCCUUGGCAACCAUUACUGAGGCAAAAAUAGAAGACUUCGUAUGGAAGAACAUCCUUUGUAGAUUCGGUAUUCCCAAUGUGAUAGUCACUGACAACGGGCGACAGUUCGACAACAAUAAGUUCAUGAUGUUUUGCUCUAAGUUCAAGAUCAACUUAUAUUUUUCCUCCCCAGCUCAUCCCCAGUCUAAUGGACAAGUCGAAGCCAUCAACAAAAUAAUCAAGUGAACUUUGAAAACUAGCUUGGAUAAGGAUAAAGGUUGUUAGCCAGAAUUUGUACCCCAAGUUCUUUGGUCAUACCGCACUUCGUAUCGAACAUCAACAGAAAAAACCUGAUUCUCACUUGCCUUUGGUACAGAGACAGUUGUCCCUGUUGAGCUUGAGCAAGCAAUGUUCCAAGUCCAGAACUACGUGCAAAGCGAAAAUGACAAACAACUUACCCUAAACUUAGAUCUAGUUGAGGAACACAUAAACCACGCUCACUUGAGGAAUGUCGUCUACAAGCAGUGUAUCUCCAACUACUAUGACUCAAGGGUCAAACCUCGUUUUUUCAAAGUGGGGGACUGGGUACUGAAGAAAAGAUUACUCUGCGACAAAGUCCUGAGUGAAGGAACACUUAGUCCAAACUGGGAUGGACCGUUUGAAGUUGUUGGCAUCAGUCACCCUGGCUCCUACAAGCUUAGAAGCUCCGAUGAUAAGACCUUUGGCCAUCCAUGAAACGCUGAUCACUCGAAGUACUAUUACAACUAAACUCACAUUGUACAAGUGUUAAGCUUCAGCCGUUUGGCAUCCUAUGUAACGAAGAUUAUUUGGAAUGAAUUCAAUAAAGAGGUGAUUUAGACAAAUCAGUCCUAAUCCUCUUACAUUCCUAGCAAUGAAGCACUCGGGUUCAAAGCUUCAACAUGAAUGUUUCCAACAUGAAACAAAGUCUAAGUAUACGUUAACAAGACUAUACAAAUAAACGAAUAGCUUCACAGUAUAUUCGUUCAAUCAUACAUUCCAACACAUUCAUACAUAAGCCAACUGUGCUUCGAAAGGGUUCAACAUACUUGGUGUCAUUCGACACUUGCUACAAUGUGCCUUGACACCUUGCCCUUAUUCUCACCAACCAGGUGAUGAAAUGUGAAGAAGGAACUCAUCUUCAUACCACCAACCAGGUGAUGAAAUGUACAACCCGUACUCUCUUUCAUGCCACCAACCAGGUGAUGAAAUGUACAACCCGUACUCUAAUAUCAUUUGGCAACUUGUCACUCAUGCCACCAACCAGGUGAAGAAGGAACUCAUCUUCAUGCCACCAAUCAGGUGAUGAAAUGUACAACCCGUACUCUCCUUCAUUCCAUUAACCAGGUGAUGAAAUGUACAACCCAUACUCUAAUAUCAUUUGGCAACUUGCCAUUUAUGCCACCAACCAGGUGAAGAAGGAACUCAUAUUCGUGCCACCAACCAGGUGAUGAAAUGUGAUGAAAGGUGAUGAAGGAACUCACAUUCGUACCACCAACCAAGUAAUGAAAGUAACUCACCAUUCAUUCCACAUACCAGAAGACGAGUGGUACAAUUUGUACAUGUGAACUCCUAACAUUCACAAAUAAUAAAAAACCUUCAAGCUUGACAACUCAACUAGGGGAGCACUUAUGCCCAACAAGAAUUAUAGUCACCAACAAAGUCUUAUUGCAAGCCAACAACAACUUCAGUGCAUGACAUACGAAGAUCAAGCUAUUCAGCCCGCUUGCAUCUACUUUAGACAUUUCUCAUUUGUAACAAUGCAACACUACAACUCGUAGAAAGCUUCACACACUCUUGAUCAAGACAGUGGGAAGCAAAACCAAUUUAUAGUGCCAACAAGAGCUUCAUCAAAUGAGUUUAACCAUAAUUCUCAAAAGUUUCACACUCUUGAUCAAGAUAGUGUGAAGCAAAACCAAUUUAUGGUGCCAACAAGAGUUUCAUCAAAGGAGUUCAACCACAAUUCUCAAAAGCUUCACACACUCUUGAUCAAGACAGUGUGAAGCAAAACCAAUUUAUGGUGCUAACAAGAGCUUCAUCAAUGGAGGGCAACCACAAUUCUUAAAAGCUUCUCACACUCUUGAUCAAGAUAGUGUGAAGCAAAACCAAUUUAUGGUGCCAAUAAAAGCUUCAUCAAAGGAGUUCAACCACAAUUCUAAAAAGCUUCACACAUUCUUGAUCAAGACAGUGUGAAGCAAAACCAAUUUAUGGUACCAACAAGAGCUUCAUCAAUGGAGGGCAACCACAAUUCUCAAAAGCUUCACACUCUUGAUCAAGACAGUGUGAAGCAAAACCAAUUUAUGGUGCCAACAAAAGCUUCAUCAAUGAAAGGCAACUACAACUCGUAGAAAGCUUCACACACUCUUGAUCAAGACUGUUCGAAGCAAAUUCAAUUUAUAUAGUUCAUCCAAACCUUCGACUACUACAAGGUAUGGCUUGCAUCACAAUCUCUUGCUCAACAGUGUGGAAGCAAAAUGUGUAUAUGUUGUCUCUCCCACAUUUUCAAAUUUCUAGUUUCCUUAAAAAAAAAAUUGGGAAAUUCAACAAAGCUUCAUCAAUGGAGGACAACUACAAAUUCUCAAAAGCUUCACACUAUCUUGAUCAAGAUAGUGUGAAGCAAAAUCAAUUCGUGGUACCCAACAAAGCUUCACCGCAAAAGCUUCACCAACAAAAGCUUCACCAAUAAAAGCUUCAUCAAUGGAGGACAACUACAAAUUCUCAAAAGCUUCACAUUAUCUUGAUCAAGAUAGUGUGAAGCAAAAUCAAUUCAUGGUACCCAACAAAAGCUUCAACUCCAAAGCUUCACCUACAAAGCUUCAACUCCAAAGCUUCACCUACAAAAUCUUCAACACAAAAGCUUUACCUGCAAAGCUUCAACUCCAAAGCUUCACCUACAUAUCUUCAACACAAAAGCUUCACCUACAAAGCUUCAACUCCAAAGUUUCACCUACAAAAUCUUCAACAAAAAAGCUUUACCUGCAAAGCUUUAACUCCAAAGCUUCACCCUCAAAAGCUUCACCCACAAAAGCUUCAAAGUUUCACCCACAAAAGCUUCACCCACCACAAAAGCUUCACCUACAAAAGCUUCACCAACAAAAGCUUCACCCACAAAAGCUUCACCUACAAAAGUUUCACCCACAAAAGCUUCACCAACAAAAGCUUCACCUACCACAAAAGCUUCACCCAUAAAAACAUCACUAACAAAAGCUUCACCCAUAAAAGUUUCACCAACAAAAGCUUCACCCAUAAAAGCUUCAUCAACAAAAGCUUCACCCACCACAAAAGCUUCACCCACAAAAGCUUCACCUACAAAGCUUAAACACAAAAGUUUUACCUACAAAAGCUUCACACUAUCUUGAUCAAGAUAGUGUGAAGCAAAAUCAAUUCAUGGUACCCAACAAAGCUUCAACUUCAAAGCUUCACCUUCAAAGCUUCAACACCAAAGCUUCACCUACAAAGCUUCAACACCAAAGCUUCACCUACAAAGCUUAAUAUAUAUAUAUAUUUUUUUUUUUUCGAAAAUUCGGAAAUUCGAAAGAAAAAAAAUUGCCUAGGCCUCCUCUUGUUUGGGCCUAACAACUUUCAUAACAAAUAUAUAUGAAGGAGGAGUUUUGGGCUACCACUUAGAAAGGAAAUGCCUCGUUCGUCAACUCCCUUGACCGGACAUUGAGGGACUCCUACCAUAUGUUACUGCACCUUGAUACUCGGAAGUCUCACGACCACUCAGUGACUUGGAUUUUUGAAGUCUCCAACCGAGAAGUUUUCCUCACUUGGGAAAUUAAGGGAGCACUACCUCAACAUACAUGCUUCACUCACAAAACUUCAACAUACAAGCUUCAACAAAAGAAAAAAUUCAAAGAACUUAGUGAAGAAGCCUUGGUGUAUUUAACACAAUACGUUGAAAUGAAGCAAAACUUGUUUAUUAAUAUCUCUAAUAAGUUACAAGUAUGUACAUAUACAUGAAUCAAAAUAAACAAACAAGAGGGAGCCUUCACAAAGGUUGCUCAGGAGAAGUCUUAGCAGUUGGCAGAGCCCCAAAAAGAGGAGGCACCAGAGGGUGAUUAUUCGGAGCCUCAGUACUGGGCAGAACCCCAGAAGGAGGAGGCACCAAAGGUUGAUCAUUUGGACCUUCAUUACGAGAUACAGCCCUAAAAGACGAAGGCAAUAAAUGCAUUUGGAACAAACCCACAAACCUCUGAUGAUCAAGUAAAAUCUGACCAUCAGAUUCUUGCAGCUGGUCGAGCUUCCUCUUCAUGUUUGUAGCAUAGUCAUGUGCGAGCCUGUGCAACUGUUUAUUCUCAUGCUUGAGCCAUCUGAUCUCCUGUUUGAGACUUGGCGGGUUCGAGCAAAUAGGCAUUGAGCCAUAUUAGACACAAAACCUGCACACUGAACACUAAGAGCCAGAGAAUCCUUAACAACCAACUCAUCAGAUUGUUUGGAAAAUAGUCUGUUAUCUUUGGGAGUGAGAAGGUUCCUGGCCACCACCGCAGCGGUCAUAUCAUUCUUCAUCAUAGAGUCCCCAACGGUAAGAGGACCAAUAGGGGAUAAGAAGGAUUGGCGCCAUAUGUUGUCUUGAGAAGGCAUGACUGCCUUUUCACCAAAGUUCAAGUCAAAACGAUGGUCGGAUGGGCCAGACAUUCUCAGAAAUGAUGAAGGAGAAAUGAGGUGCAAUAAAUCUCUGAAGUACAAAAAUAAGGGGAAAAUUCAUGCAAGCAAUAACUCUCUGAACGUACUUCUUGCACACAUUGGUGCCCCUAUAAAAGAAAGGGCAACAAGGUUGUUGGUUCAAAAAUCGAAGAGGCAUCACUCUCCAGAUUUUGAGAAGCAGAUUUUCCUGAGUAAAAUAUGUCGACAAUCCCCACAUGCAACAUCAGCUCCUCGGGUACCACAGAUAACUUUGCCAAAGAUCUCUGACAAAGUUUAGACACAUAAAUUUUGAAGGUCUAGCUACCCUACCAUUACCCACAAGGGUAAAGGAACAACACCACUGCUUGAUAACUGGAAAGUCCCUAUAUGUGUCAACCUCCGUGCUCCGUGGCAAGGUUGACUGGUAAAAAUGCCCAACCUUUACUCACAUUUGAGAAAACAUUCCCAACAAGAUUGCUUGCUCAAAUAUCGAAGAGGCACCGAUCUCCGAAUCUCAAGAGCCAAACUCCCAACAGGAUUACUUGCUCAAAAAUCGAAAAGGCACCGCCUUCCGAAUCUCGAGAGUCAGACUCCCAACAGGAUUACUUACUCAAAAAUCGAAGAGGCAUCGCUCUCCGAAUCUCGAGAGCCAGACUCCUAAUAGGAUUACUUGCUCAAAAAAAACUUUUUUGCUUUGUAACGGCAAUCUAAACUUUCAAUUUGUUGAUUGGAUACUUGAAGUGUUUAUGUUUAUGAAACUAAACCCUGCAUGCAGUCUGACAUGUGUAUGAGGAAACAGAAUGAAACUAACAUCACUCCUCUCAAUUAUGUUCUAAGAGAACAUAUUUAGGACACACCUAGGUGUUUAUUCCUUCCAAUAAUGUGCUCAUAUGACACAAUUGGGAGAAAUAUUGAGCACCAUGACGCUAGGUUAAUUCCAGUUCCUCCUAUAGAUGUCAGAUUGCAUUUAGGGUUCAAUCUAAGAAUCAUAAGACGCUUCAAGUCUCCACCAACAUAUAGGAAGUUUUAGAUUGCCGUUACAAAUCAAAGAGAGUUUUCCAUAAUUCAAGCCUAGAACACCCUCUAUAAGAACCUAUCUCAUUUCUUCCAUGUGUCAUCACAUAGUCCUAAGAGUUACAGCAAAAUAGCACCAAGAUAUACUCUCUUAAGACUUGUAGCUCUUAAGAUUUGUUAUGACACAUGGAAGAAAUGAGAAAGGCUCUUAUAGAGGGUAUCCUAAGACUUGAAAUUAUAGAAAACUCAUUUAGCUUUGUAACGACAAUCUGAAACUUUCAAUACGUUGGCUGGAGACUUGGAAGUGUCUUCUGUUUCUGAAACUGAAACCUGCAUGCAGUCUGACAUGUGUAUGAGGAAAUGGAAUGAACCUAGCAUCAUGAGUGAUUACUCCUCUCAAUGAGCACAUAUUUAGGACACAAUUGGGUUCUUAUUCCUACCAAUAAUGUGCCCAUAUGGCACACUUGGGUGUCAUAAUAAACACCCAUGAGGCUAUGCUUUUCCAAUUCCUCCUACAAAUGUUGGAUUGCAUGCAGGGUUCAAUCUGAGAAACAUAAGAUGCUUCAAUUAUCCAACCAACGGUUUGAAAGUUUUAAAUUGUAGUUACAAAGCAAAGAGAGUUUUCUGUAAUUUCAAGUCUAAGGACACCCUCUUUCAGAACCUAUCUCAUUUCUUCCACGUGACUGUCAUCACAUAAUCUUAAGAGCCAGAACAAAAGAGCACCAAGAAACACUCUGUGAUAAGAUGUAUUUGAUCAUAAUUCGAGCCACCAAUUUUUAGCUACUUGGAUGUACAAGUUGUCAUUAUUCUGGAACAAUCUCUUCUACAAUGGCAGAGAUCCGAAGUUCGAAACUGUGCGGAUAUGGACUACACUAUCCUCAUGUGAAUAUUCAUCACUUUAAAUUAUCUGAAUUCGGUAUCCGUUUCUAGCUCAUGGAAUGCAGCUGCUACAAUCCAACCCAUGGGAAAAAGUUGGACCUGAUUGUGCUCAAGAUUAUUUUGUUACUUGGACAUGCCAACAAGCCUUUGAGUAGUACGUAAGAAGAAAGGCCAGAAUAGAUGGAAAGAAGAAGAAAAGGCAUGCUCAAACAAAUAAACAAUGAGCAUACAUGGCAGAUAAGUCUCCUCUUUAAGCCAACUUAGGUUUUCAGAGGUGAAACAAAGUUUAUGUGCUCGAGUAUAUUCGUCUUAUUGGUUUCACGGUGAUGAUCCGCGCGCUCAUUUAUUUUUAUAAAAGGGGUGUAGUCAAAUUAGGAUUUGAUAGUUUUAAUGGAUUUUGAAAUCUGAGUGUGUUCAAUUAGGAUUUUAAACGAAGAUUUUAAAAGAUUUUGAAAUUAUGGUGUAGUCAAAUUUUGAUUUUAGAGGAUUUUAAAAAUACAUUGAAAUCCAAGGAUAGCCGAUUUUAAAUAAGUCUUCAAAUGUCUAGCUGUAGUGAAAAUACCAAAGAUUUGCUAGGAUUUUAAUGAGUGAUGGAUUUUGAUGGAUAAGAGGGUGUGUGGUAUAAAUACCAAAUGCCAUCAAGAAUUCAACCCUCACCCCUAGAUUUCUUUUCACUUUGUCGUGUCUUCGUUCAGCUCUUGAAGUCUAAGCGCUUCAACCACACUCUCUAGGUUUCAAUUUCUAUCAUUUUGCUCUUGUACUCGUGUCUUUUAGAAUUGUUCCGAUCAAGCUGAAAUGCUCCAACUAUCUUCCAUGGCGUGCGUUGUUUGCUCCGAUUCUCCGUCGCUACAAACUCAUUGGCGUCAUUGAUGGCACAAAACCGUGUCCUUCUCCUCUGCUUCCAUAUCAUUCAAUCAAUCCGGCCUUUGAACUUUGGUAUGAAAAAGAUUGCAAUCUCCUCAUUUGGUUAAAUUCUACGCUUUCUGAAGAAGUUAUUCCAUUUACUGUUAGGGUUUCAUCCUCUCGCAAUCUGUGGAUUAAAUUGGAGCUGUGAUUGGUGGUGUUUCUGAUGCACAUAUUCACCAAUUGGGAUCUCGUCUUCAAUCUCUUCAGAAAGGAUCUUUGUCAAUUUCUGAAUAUCUCCAACAAAUCAAAGAGAUUUCUUAUUCAUUUACUGUUGUUAAAGCUCCUGUUACCGAUCGUGACUUCAUUGCAGCUACCCUUGUUGGAUUACCAGAUGAAUUUGAGACGUUUAUUGAUUCUAUCAUGCUUCGUCUUUCUACCACAACACUUGAUGAAUUGCACGGUUUACUUCUCACCAAGGAAUUUUCCUUGUCUUGAAGAAAGAAACUUGCUUCCUCCAAUGUCACAUAACCAUUUCAAGCCUUUUCAAUUCAAGCUCAGGCCUCUCAAGCUCUUAUUCUUCCUGCACUGCAAGUCUUGGCUGCUCAGUAUUCUCAAUCACAGAACUUUGUGAAGCACAAUCGUGGUAAUCGGGGCAAUAACUAUAACAAUCGAGGCCAUAGUUACAACAAUUGUGGCAGUCAUGGUUCCAAUUUUAAUUCUAGAGGUAACAAUUUCAAUCACCGUGGCAAUUCUCAUGGCUCUCACAAUUAUAAUCCAUAUGGUUAUCGUAUACCAUGUAAAUAUGUAGUUCUACUAGUCAUAAGGCUAUCGAUUGUUAUGAUCUUAUGAAUCCUGAUAUUGUUGGUAAAGUACCUUCUGCAAAGUUGGCUGAGAUGUGUGUUCAUCAUUCAAUGAAGCCUAAUACUCCAUCAUGGUUAAUUGAUUCUGAUGCCACUUCUCAUAUUACAAAUGACAUCUCCAACAUUCAAUCUCCCAUCUCAUAUCAUGGAGAAGACAAAGUAUACAUUGGUGAUGGUAAAGGUCUAUCCAUUGAUCAUAUUGGUUCAUUUUUGUUGCAUAAUCCUUACUCUAGGGGUGGGUUCAAAAAACCGAAAAUUGAAAACCAAACUGAACCGAAGCCGAAAAAAAUCGAACCGAAAUUGCCAAACUUGACUGCAGGCUUUGUGUUGUUAUAAAUGUACUAGCAAGUUAUUUAUAGUUUCUAAUAUUUAAUUCUUUAUAAAAUUUCUUAACUUUACAAACCCUAGCCAUCUCACUCCCAUUUCAGCUUUCACCUUUUCUCAAACCUUCGCUCUCCCCAUCUGCUGCUUCAUCUCUACCUUUGCUUCCUCAGUCUCUCUCUCUCUCUCAUUCCCUUCUUCCUCCAAAUCACUCUCUCUUUCCAGUCUUCACCUAUCCUCCUCGUGGAUUCCUUCUUCCAAACCAUGAUUUUCACUCGCCCCUUUCGAAUCAGAACCCCCUCCAAAUUGGAAGAUUCUAAUCCGAGUUUUCUAUUCUCUCACAGGUAAUUUUUGAAUCAAAAUGAAUAUGAUUUAUAUUGUGAUUUUUUUAAUUAAAAUGGGUUUUUGUUUUAAUUAUUUUGUAGGGUUUUUCUUUUAAUUAUUUUCCCAUGGCUGAUGAGAAGUUUGGGACUAAAAACAAACCCCCAAGUAAAAAUCUCUCAUGGCUGCUAUUUAGUUCUAUUUGGUUUAUUUUCAUGGAAAAAUCAAAGAACUAACACAUGCAUGUGUUUUCUCUACAAAAGCUCUCGAAUCCACCACAAGAAAGACUCAUCGACACCCAAUAAUGUCAGAUCCAUGGCCGAUCGUCCCAGUUCAUAUUCAUUUGAUGCAGAAGUUUUUGCAUCUUCAGUGCUCAUUCGUUGCAGAUUUUGUGCCAAAUUAAAAAAAAAAUCUUGGAAAAAAUCGAACCGAACUGAAACUGAACCGAAAAAAAAUUUAACUGAAUCGAAAUUUCGAUUUGGUUUCGGUUUUGGCUAAAAACCGAAGUGUUUCAAACCGAACCCAGCCCCACCUUACUCUACAUUUCAGUUGCACAAUGUUUUACAUGUGCCUCAAAUGCAACACAAUCUUCUUUUUGCUUAUCAGUUUAUUAAAGAUAAUAAAUGUUCAUUGACUCUUAAUAUUGAUGGAUCCUAUGUCAAGGAUUGUACUACAAGGAGGAUGCUUCUGCAAGGACCUGUUAAGGAUGGUUUCUUCCUACUACAAGGCUCCCCUACACUCUGUCAUUCUUCAGUAUCUUCUCCUACUGCAUUACUCAGUAAUAAAGCCUCUGUCAAAGUGUGGCAUAGCAGACUUGGCCACCCUUCUUCUUCCAUUUUCAGAAGGGUACUCUCCAAUAGUAAACUUGCACUUCAAGGAAAAUCUACAGUGGAUUUCUUCUGCAAGGACUGUGUUUUAGCCAAGAAUCAUAAACUUCCUUUUAGUAGUACUAGUUCAUUUUCUUCCAAAUGUUUGGAUUUGUUGCAUUAUGACUUAUGGGGACCCUCACCUGUGUUGUCUGUGAGUGGUUAUAAAUACUAUCUGUCAUUGUUGAUGAUUUCAGUAGGAAUUGUUGAUUUUUUUCCUUGAAAUCAAAGGCAGAUGUGUACUCCACUUUUGUAAACUUUCAAUGCUAUGUAAAAAAUGUUCUUGGCAAUAAAAUCAAAAUUGUUUGAUCUAACUCAAGGGGUGAAUUCAUUGGUAAUUAGUUUCAAUCUUAUCUUAAGUCUCAUCGUAUUUUACAACAAUUCAGUUAUCCUCAUACCCCUGAACAAAAUGGUUGUGUUGAGCGCAAACACAGACAUUUAGUUCAAACUGCAAGGACUUUGUUAGUUCAAUCUCAUGUCCCUCAUCAAUAUAAGUUGAAGCAUUCUCAACUGUUGUCUAUUUGAUUAAUAGACUCCAUAUUUCUGGUAAUCUAAAGUCUCCUUGGGAAUUUCUAUUUCAGAUUCAUCCAGAUUAUUCAAGGCUCAAAGUAUUUGGAUGUAGCUGCUUUCUAUGGCUCAAACCUUACAUCUUAUCCAAAUUGGAUAGUAAAAGUAAACAUUGUGUUUUCUUGAGGUACAGGUGCUUGGAUCUACUCACUCAACGCAUUUACAUUUCAAAGCAUGUCAUUUUCAAUAAAGCAGAAUUUCCCUAUCAUAAGAUUAUAACUAUUGCAUCUAUUACUUCAUUAACUUCAUCAUUAUUUUCACCUAUUAGUCUUGGGUUUACCAUUCCUCAUUUUGCUCCAUCUUAAGCACCAAUUUCUCAAGUGUCUACUUCUCUUACAAGUAAUCCUCUUAAUGAUGCAUCUCCACUACUUGAAGAUCUUGCAUUAUCAUAAAUGUAGUUUCUUCAAUUGUUCCAGUUCCCCAGGUUGUUACCAAUAUACAUCCAAUGGUAACUCAGUCUAAAGCAGGAGUCUUUAAACCAAAAGCUUACUCAGCAACUAAGCGUCCAUUGCCAUCUUCAAUUGAUCAUGUUUCAACUAUAUAUAUUCAAGUAUCCAAGUUUGCACACUAGAGAACUGAUAUGCAAGAGGAAUUUAAUGCUUUGCAAUCCACAUGUACAUGGUCAUUGGUGCCUUCUACUUCUAAUCAAAAUGUUGUUGGUUGUAACUGGGUCUUUAGAGUCAAGAAACAUCCAGAUGGUAGCAUUGAUAGAUAUAAAGCCCAGCUUGGAGCCAAGGGCUUUCAUAAGCAAGAAGGAUUAGAUUACAAAGGAACUUUUAGCCCAGUAGCUAAACCAGUAACAACUCAGAUUCUUUUGUCUCUUGCUGUGCAAUAUGACUGGUUUUUUAAUCAACUUGAUAUUAGUAAUGCCUUUCUCCAUGGUGAUUUCAAAGAGGAUGUCUUUAUGACUCAACUUCCUGGAUUCUGUGAUCCUAAUUUUCCCAAGCAUGUAUGUAAACUCAAAAAGUCUUUAUAACCUCAAACAAGCUCCUAGAGGUUGGUUUGACAAGUUGUUAAACACUUUGAAGUCUUUUGGUUUGCAACACUCCAUUUCAGAUGCUUCUUUCUUUGUUCUUAAAGCUCAUGUCUUGGUCAUUGUUGUGGUCUAUGUAGAUAACAUUCUAGUGACUGGACCAAACUCAGAUGUUUGCAAACUCUUUAUUUAGAAGCUUAGUUUAGUAUUUCCAGUCAAGGAUCUUGGCCCUUUGCAUUAUUUUCUUGGUCUUGAAGUUCAGAUGACUUAUGAUGGUUUAUUUCUUCACCAAAGCAAAUAUUUGCUUAAUUUGCUUCAGAAAACGAAAAUGGAAGGUGCUAAACCAUGUACAACCCCUCUGUGUAGCAUCAAACUUGAUCAUACUGGACCACUUCUCUCAGAUCCUACAGAGUAUAGGUUUAUAGUUGGUGCAUUACAAUAUUUGACAUGGACUCGGCCUGAUUUAUCCUUUGCAGUUAAUCAAGUAUGUCAGUUCAUACAUGCUACAAGGGAAACUCAUUUGCAGGCAACUAAAAGAAUCUUAAGGUUUCUCAAAGGUUCUUUCACAUAAGGAUUAUGGUUAAAAAAUGGUUCAAUUCAUCUCUCUGCCUUCUCAUAUGUUGAGUGGGAUGGCUGUCCAUUUGACUGAAGAUCUAAAAGUGGUUAUUGCAUUUUGCUAAGAUCCAAUUUGAUUAAUUGGAGUACCAAGAAGUAAUCCACUGUUGCUUGUAGUUCCACAGAAGCUGAAUAUAGGUCAUUAGCUCACUAUUGAUGCACAAAAUCGGUGAAGACUUUGGUACAACAGAAAGUGUUAAGUUUGUAACCUUCGCUAGAUUGCUCCGGUCACUAGCAUGGAUAAGUAUGUAAAUGGAUAGAGACAGGGAAACAAACACAAGAUGUACGUGGUUCAUCUAGAUUGGCUACGUCCACAGAGUAGAGAAGUUCUCAUUAAUUGUGAAAGGUUUACACAAGUACAUAGGUUCAAGCUCUCCUUUAGUGAGUACUAGUGAAUGAUUUAGUACAAAUGACAUUAGGAAAUAUUGUGGGAGAAUGAUCUUCUUUUAUAGAAUAGGGUUUCUAGCUUUGUUUUGACAUUAACACGUGUCGUGUUAUAAUUGGCUUCUGAUGUUGACACGUGUCGCGCUAUGGUUGGCUUCUGAUAUCGACACGUGUCACGCUGUGAUUGGCCUCCUGGUUGGAAGGAAACUCUUCUGGGUCUUUGACGGUAUAACGUUGACCGGUACUCGGUAGUUUUGGGAUUGGUCAAGUAUGGUACAAACACUCACACUACUGCAGAAAUCACCUUGAUUUGCAAAGUUCUUAAUGAUAUUGGUCUACCACUUCUUAAAGUUCCUGAUUUAUGGUGUGAUCACAUCUCUGCCAUCUCAUUGGCAUCAAAUCUAGUAUUCCAUGCUUAAACUAAGCACGUAGAAAUUGAUUAUGAUUAUAUCAGAGAGCUCGUUCUUGCUCAUUUGAUCGAAGUCCAAUAUGUUUGCAGUCAGGAUCAACUUGCAGAUAUUCAUACUAAAGCUUUGACAAAACACAGAUUUCAAUAUUUGCAGUCCAAGCUUCCUUUAGGUUCUUUCAGCACCAAGUUAAGCUUAAGAGGGAGUAAAGAGUAAUCAAAUAAUAGGUGAAAUGUUUUUUCUCUUCUGUAUAGUUGUUACACUUGAUUAUGUAAUUGUUAGUAUUUGUAACAACCCGUUCCAGAAUUUAAUAAAAAAAAAGAAGGUAUUUUUGUAUUUUCACUAAGUUUGGGGAUAUUUUCCUUUUAAAAAUAGUUUUUGGGUCUUAAAUGAUGUGCCCAAGGGACCCACCCCUGAUUUGUCCUUUGGUUCCUUUCCCAUUUUCUUUAUUUUUCUGAUUUUUAUAACUCUCUCUCUCUUUCAGCUCUUUCCCCCUUUUCUCCCUUUCGAGCUCAUCUUUUUCUCUCUCGGACUCUUUCCCGAUUGACACCCAUACACACACCCAGUCACCAACCACAACCCAUACCACCUGAGCGUGGAGACGUUGAAACCCAGGACCUGAAGGCGUGAUACUCCAACAGUGGCAGUGCCACUGUGCAUCUUCAUCCCUAAACAAACUCCGACGAGUUUGUAUCACCUCUGACUUGGGUAAGCUUCGAUAACACUCUAAACCUCCCCAUUUUUAUCCUCAUAAUUCAUUUCUGAUCAUAUUUGUAUGUUUUGGUCGUCGAAACUACGAAGAAAAAUGUCGAGGAGACUUCCCCAAAUUCCGGCAAAGAACCAGUCACUUUCGAGCCAAUUUCCAGACAAACAACGGGGAGUUGGCCAACGUGCAAGGUAUCAAUCUCUUCAUCUCGCUGAGUGCUACAACUUUCAUUUUUGUUUUACUCAAUUUGGUUGAGUAUUGAAGAAGUUAUAUCCAUUUGAAUCUUACCCAGUUUUCAGCGACCUCCGCGGCUUUCGAGGCUUUUUUUUUCAGACAAAACAUGGUGAGAUAGAUGUCGUGCGAGGUACCAUUCUCUUUGUCUCUUCAGGAACUAUGAUUUUUGUUUUUGAAUCACUCAAUUUCAUUGAGUAUUGACAAAGUUAUGAGCGUUUAAAGUUUGUCUAAUUUCCGGCCGAAUUUCGGCCUUUUCCUUUGAUUAGAUCCAGUGACCUCCAUGCCAAGAAGCCAGGCCCUCGAGCCUUUUCUCAAAACACUAUGGGCCUUGGGCCCUUUAAGCACUAACCCAACCCUUUUUAGUUUUGUUUUUAAUUAAUUAAUUUAUUGGGAAUUUAAUGAAAAACUCAUGGUAUUGUUCACUUUAACGAAAAAUUACAUUUUUACACUAAAAAGUCAAUCAUAGUAUUACUCAUUUCACCCUUUAUUUUGUCCUUAUCGUUAAAACUCAAAGUUUUCAAACCAUUUUCAUUAUUUUUCCUUAAUUUAUUUCUUAAUUCCUUUUAAAAAAACCUAGGCCCGUGUGCCCUAAAGAUCCAAGCCUUUAAAGGUUUAAGGCCUUAGGGCCGUCUCUCUCUCCUUAGGCCUUUGGCCUUGGGGCCGGGCCCUAAACCAACUUCCCAAAACCCAUUUCAAAACCCCUUAGCCCAUUUACCUAAACCCAACCCAAUUUCCUAAUUAUAAAACCCAAUACCCAAACCCUUUUUAAUUAUAAAACCCCUUAAGCCCUUUUCCCCAAACUCAACCCACCUAUUAACAAAACCCUUAACCCUUUAAAUCCAAGACCCUCGGCCCAACCCAGAUUCGGACCCAAUGGAAUAUUCUGGAACAUUCUGAGGAAUAUUCCUGGAAUAUUUCCAUGUUGACUUUUGUUGACUUUUUGAAAAUUUAACCGGGACCCUUCUUAGGGUAAUUCAACGUCCUGAAUCCAUUUUUGACAUCCGUUUCCUCAAAUUCAAUUGAUAUCAUAUAGUUUUAUUAAUUGGGUAUGGGCAAUUAUUGUGGCGUUUCCGUCUUCGCUAGUUUGCGCGGCUCUUCAGCGGCGAAGUAACUGUGAGUGGACUCCUUCUAAAAAUGCAUGUUUUAAUAGUAGAAAUGCAUACAUGGAAAAGCAUGAUUUAACAAUUAUGUUCUAUGAAACACUUUGAGAUAACAUGCUUAUUGAGGCUAGUUUGAAUUAUUAUUAUUUUUCCUAUAACCCGUGUUCUUAUAGAAUAUCUGAUGGACGACGAUAUAAUAUUUAGAACACAUUUGGAACACCUCUUUAUAGUAUAGAUGAUGGAUGACUUUAUACUAUGAAGUUGUUUUUCAAUAUAUGUAUGUUCAAUGGUUUUGUACUUACCCAGUGGUCUCUAUUUCGCUACGGGAUGAGGGAUAGAUUCUGGUCCAUCUCAGGCGACGGUUAUGAUGUUGGCAUAAGGCUUGAAGUGUUUUUCCUCUGGCUAUUAGCAUAGGGAUGGGGAGCUAGCAUGGGGCCUGGGGGUAAUUUUCCUCUGGCUGUUUGCACAGAGACGGGGAGUCGGCAUGGGGCCUGGAGAUAUAUUGGACAUUCAUUAGUGAUUAUUAUAUAUAUAAGUUAUGAUUUAAGACAAUGCACGACAUGCUAGGUUUCGGAAAACCUAUUUUAUCAUGAUAUAUAUGUGUUUUCAUAAAACCUGGGAGCUAGUAUGUUGAUUACUGUUCUAUAUAUAUAUAUAUAUAUAUAUAUAUAUAUAUAUAUAUCAACUUGGUCCACUCAUAUUUGUUUUGCGCCCCCUUCACGACUUAGAAUCGAGGCAUACAAUCCCGGCGUCAAGACACUUCCACAUCGGCAUCUUCGAGUCCUCUCGGUGUAGGACCCAUUCUUUUAUUCAUUCAAUUUUAUAUUAUUUCUUUUAGUAUUCUAGUUAGUUGUAUACUCUGAACACGUUCUUUAAAUACAUAUUUGUUGAUGCACAAAAUCGGAAGUCUUCGAACAACGUAAAUCCGACCGUGAAUCUACAAGUAAUGUAAAUAACACAAGAUGUAUCGUGGUUCACCCCAAGGUUUGGGCUACAUCCACACUAAUUAUAUAUUUAUCUGAAGGGUGAGGGGAGUAAGGGAGCUCUGUAAUGUGAGAGCUUUGAGAGGAUGAAAGAGCCUUAAGAAAUGGCCUCAGAGUUGGCCUUCCUUAAUGAGGAGAGUGAUGGGUCCUUUUAUAGAAUAAGGGCUCCUCACUUAUUACAUAUUUGCCCCUUCCUUUAUUACAUAAUUACAUUUAAGUCACCCGAGUAUUUAUACGAGAUAUAAAUAUAGAGGCCCUAAAUAUGGUAUAAAUAGUAGUCCCCCAAGUCUUCAGUUAAGAUAGUCUUUUGGCUGAAGACUUGAAAUUCAGUCCAUAAGUGGGCCAAAAUAACUAAAUGUUGUCUUGAACUGAUACUUGAUAUGAGGCGGUGCUCAAAGUGAAAUGAUGCUCAACUAUAAGUAGCACAUGUUGUGAGGCUUGUUGGCUUGUGGCUUAUGUUGCCUUGGUUGGGUAGGCUUGUGGCGCUUGAAGGUGAGGGAGUCCCUUUUAUAUAAUAAGGGCUCGCUCCUCAAUACAUAAAAUGAUGGGCUAGAGUUGAUGCUCAAGGCGAGGCGGUUGCUCAGUAGGCGGCGAUGCUCUCUAAUGGUGGUGAGGGAUUCCCUUUUAUAGAAUAAGGGCUCGCUCCUCAAUACAUAAGUGAUGGGUUAUGAGUGAUGCUCGCGGCGAUGCAGUUGCUUAGCUGGCAGCGUUGCUCUAUAAUGAAGGUGAGGGAGUCCCUUUUAUAAAAUAAGGGCUCGCUCCUCAGUACAUGAAUAAUGAGUGCUCUCUAAUGAAAGUGAGGGGGUCCUUUUUAUAGAAUAAGGGCUCGCUCCUUUAUACAUAAAUAAUGGGCUAAGUCCCCCAACUAUUUUUCCUGAGGCCCAGUUGAGGUCCAAUAUAUGGUACCUAAUGUAGUCCCUCCAGUUUUCGGUCAAUAGAGUCUAUUGGCUGGAGACUUCAAAUUGAAUCCAUGUAUGGGUCGAAAUGGCGGUUGUUCGAAUGCGGUAUUUGUAUACUCUGCACUGAAGCUUUGUAAGUGAAGCUUUGAAGUUGGAACUCUGUAAAUGAAGCUUUUGAAGCUAGAGCUUUUGUAGAUGAAGCUUUUAAAGCUAGAGCUCUGUAAAUGAAGCUUUUGAAGCUGAUUGACAAGAGUGAUGCUCAUGAAUGUUUAUGUUGAUUGACAUGAGUGAUGCUCAUGGAUGUUGUCAUGCGUGAUGUUCAUGAAUGUUAACAUGAGUAAUGCUCAUGAAUGAUGGUCAUGAAUGUUUAUGUAAGAAUGUCAUGAGUGAUACUCAUGAAUGUUUAUGUAUGAAUGACAUGAGUAAUGCUCAUGUAUAAUUUGGAGUACUGGGGGUACUUUUGAUCACCUGGUUGGUGGCAUGAAGGAGAGUACGAGUUGUACAUUUCAUCACCUGGUUGAUGGCAUGAAUGGCUAGUUGCCAAAUGAUAUUAGAGUACGGGUUGUACAUUUCAUCACCUGGUUGGUGGUAAUAACGGCAGGUUGUCGAAUAAUUUUGGAGUAUUAGACGUACUUUUGAUCACCUUAUUGGUGGUAAUAACGGCAGGUUGAUUUUUGGAGUACUGGGCGUACUUUUGAUCACCUGGUUGGUGCUAUUUUGGGCAUAUGAGCCUUCGCCCUCACACAACAUUCCAGCCCAUUUAUUUUGGGCUUUGCCUUUUUUUUUUUACCCUCUGAUGGAGUUUAUACAGAUGUUUCCAAAAGAUAAGGAAAAUAAAUUACAUCAUUCUGGUAGGGUGUUUAUUCCUUGCUUUUGCAGUGUUCCCAUGUGUCUCCCUUUUGCUUUCCUCCUUUCCACCACACCUCUCCCACUCAGUCUUUUUUUCUUUUUCUAUUUUGCUUUGCUUUUGCUGUCUUUUAGAAAAUGGCAGGCAAUAAUAACAUAGUUAAUAAUAUAAAAUCCUUGCUGAUCUUUCCAAGAGCAAAAGCAGAGUCUUCCUGGCAAAGACAAUAAUGAAAGUGCAACGAAUUUAGCUAAAGCAUGUGGAGUACUGAUUGAUCCAUUACUCCUUUACUGAGUUGCUUACGUGAUCAUCGCUCCUCAAUUGAGGUAAGCCAUAUUCAUCAUCUUCAUGCCCUGUUGGUGUCUCUGUCUUUGCCUUUUUGAGGCAUUGGAUUCCCUUGCUUGGCAAACAAAAGAGAGAAAGAGAGACUGUCAUUGUCCUUUUUUUUUUGUCUGGCAUCUUUCUGUCAUGUUGUGGCUGUAAGCAUGGGCCUGCAAGGCUUGGAGUCGAAUAUAGUUGGCAAGCCCAUUUCAUUGGGGAAAGUUACAACCGAUCCUGAUGGACCAAUCACCCAUCGAAUAGAAUCUAGAGGAAGUGUGAAAGCAUUUGCAGCCCCCUCCUGAGCCAUAUCUUCUUGAAAACCUUCAACCUAGCAUCUUCCUCCAUUUCUUGGCCAAUCUAAUAGUCUUAGUAACUUUUGUGGUAGCCGUAAGGGAAAAUCUCUUUGCGUUUCUUAUUACUGAUCUGCCCAUGUUGUUGUUCGCCUUCCAACCUAGAUGCGACACCUCCGGCCCCAUUCCCGCUCACAAACGACGCCGUCUCGUACCUGCCAUUCAUUGUCCCCCAGCUCUCCCUGCUCAUCGCUCGGUCCAAAUACACCACCACCCGAUGUUCUAGUUUCCCAAUCUUAACGUGGAGUUCGUUGACGAUUUCCUGGAUUUCCUUCGAUUUGACUGAAGUAGGGGGUAAGUCGGUGGCGGUGGGCUUGGGCUUGGCCUUAUGAGGGAGCGAUAGAAGGAGAGGAGGAAGAAGAUCAUGACUAUUAGAGAACCAACAAGGAUUCCAUGAUGACUCAGAGACGGAGCCUGAAGAUUGAUGUAGGUUUCGAGAGCUGCGAGUUCACAAACGUCGCAUCGUACAACGAUAUUGUGAAUACUAAGAGAAUGGCUCAGACAGUUCACUGCUUGGGUUGUGGGUUCCAUCGCAUUGGGUCUUCGGAGUUUGAUUUUCCUGCCAUCGGACUGGUGUUGGGAGAAAAGGGGUUUGUGUUGGGAGAAAAGGAUUGGGAAAGUGUUUGAUAGUUUUUUUAUAGAUAAUACACACAGAGAGGGGGACGAAGUGUUUUCUUGGUUUAGAAAGAGAUGGAUUUUUUGGAUUUCUUUUUGUUUUGAUUCCUGGGUUUUGCAGAUCCACAACGGAAGUGGAAAAUUGAGAGAGAACCGACACAACUUUUCGUAUCGAUUCCCACAGAUGGCGCCAAAUGUUGAUGCACAAAACCGGAGGUCUUGGAACAACGUAAAUACGACAGUGAAUCUGCAAGUAAUGUAAAUAACACAAGAUAUAUAGUGGUUCACCCCAAGGUUUGGGCUACAUCCACACUAAUUAUAUAUUUAUCUGAAGGGUGAGGGGAGUAAGGGAGCUCUGUAAUGUGAGAGCUUUGAGAGGAUGAAAGAGCCUUAAGAAAUGGCCUCAGAGUUGGCCUUCCUUAAUGAGGAGAGUGAUGGGUCCUUUUAUAGAAUAAGGGCUCCUCACUUAUUACAUAUUUACCCCUUCCUUUAUUACAUAAUUACAUUUAAGCCCCCGAAUAUUUAUACGAGAUCUAAAUACGGAGGCCCUAUUGAUGCACAAAACCGGAGGUUUUGGAACAACGUAAAUCCGACCGUGAAUCUACAAGUAAUGUAAAUAACACAAGAUGUAUCGUGGUUCACUCUAAGGUUUGGGCUACGUCCACACUGAUUAUGUAUUUAUCUGAGGGGUGAGGGGAGUGAGGGAGCUCUGUAAUGUGAGAGCUUUGAGAGGAUGAAGGAGCCUUAAGAAAUGGCCUCAGAGUUGGCCUCCCUUAAUGAGGAGAGUGAGGGGUCCUUUUAUAGAAUAAGGGCUCCUCACUUAUUACAUAUUUGCCCAUUCCUUUAUUACAUAAUUACAUUUAAGUCCCCCGAGUAUUUAUAUGAGAUCUAAAUACGGAGGCCCUAAGUAUGGUAUAAACAAUAUUCAUUAUUUUUAAAUUUAUAAGUCUUAUUUAUUUCUUUUUCUUAGCAUUUGCAUUCAAUAAAUGGUUUUCGUCACCCUCGGGUGUCGGCCAACACGUGUCUAUCCUGGUGUUCGGGGAAUAUCGGGAUUGGGGCGUGUCAGUAUUACUGAGGGUAAAUAUGUAAAGUGUUAGUUUUGUUAACACUGUAAAUACCAAGUGUAUGACUAAUUAUUGUUUAAUGAGAAAUACAAGUAUUACGGUUAAAAGUUUUCUUUCUCUAUAAGCUUCCUUUGUAAGUCUCAAUAGUUAGGUGAUAUUGUGGAAGCCGAGAGGAUAUUUUAUGGAGUGGGAGUCCAAUUGCUUUAGGUAUGAUAUUCGAGUCUCCGAUGUCCUUCUUGGUGCAUAUAUGCAGAAUGGAAUUGACUGACCAAGCUGAGGCAUUGCAUCUGCACACAUUGGAGAGAGGCGGUCAACCAGAUUAUAAGACAUGGGAGUUCCUUAUGGAAGGAAGGUUGACAAGCCAUAACAUAACAAGGCCAUUGGAGCGAUGAAAAAGGGGUUUAGUAUGUUGCAAGAUUGUCAUUGGAGACCAUCGGACAAUACUGUAAUGGCCUUUGCUGAUUAUUUCGAAAAGCAUGGGAACAUUGAGGAUGCCAAUUGGUAUACCAGAUUGUGCACUGAAAUAAAUUCGUUUUAUGUUGUCACUAAAAAAUUAUGCACUAAAAGAAUUCCUUUUAGAUUGUGCACCCAAAGAAAUCCUAAGAAAUUCAUGAAGGAAGUCCUUACAAAUUUAUAGAAAUCUAAUAAAAAUACUUGUAAAUCUGCCAAAAUCUAUAUAGAAUUGUAAAGUCUAUUAAAAUCCUUUAAAAUCUAUCAUUUGAAGAAAAUCCAUUAAAAUGCUCUGAAAUCCAAAUUGACUUUAAUGCUAUGGACUUGGUGGGGUUAUUUUUUUCUUCCUUCAAAGAAUCUAUAGUUUGUGUGUAAGUCCAUUGUCUUUUUGAGCACGAUAUUUUGUUGCCUUAUUUUUCAAGGUGAUAAAAAAAGGAACACGAUACAACUAUACUUGGUGGUAAUGGUGGAUGCACAUAGGGACUAGGGUGGUACCAUGACUCACCAGAUUUUCGAAAAAUGCCAUUGAAGGUCCUCUAAGAAUAUUUUGAACGCAUGGUACGAGACUCCUUUGUGUCCAUAAAAUGUUCAAUAAAUUACUUGUUUCGCAUAUCUCAACGACACUUGGGAUCCCCUAAAUUAGGAUCCUCAGAUAAUACUGGAUCCACCAAUGGUUGGUGGUGUUCAAAGAAAAUGAAAAUGAGUGCCCAAUGACCAACUAUUUCCUUUCCUUUUCAAAGAAAAAACCAACUAUUUCUGAGAGAAAAAAGUUUAUUUGUCACCUUCCUUUGAAAACAGUCAUUGUUCAUUGUUAUUCACUAGUCAAUCAUAAUUUAACAUAUCUCCAUCAUUUAGUAUUACAAUGUAGUGAUUUUUUUCACUAGUAAGUAAAAAAUCUUAAUUUUCACUGUCAUAAAUAACAAAUUCGAUAUAAAUUAUCUCGAUAUAAAAGAAAUAUGUGUCUAAAUCAAGAAUAAAGAAUUACUUCUUUUAUAUGCCUAGCUUCCUUCUUUUUUUCUUUUUUUGUUGUCGAAAAACAAGAAAUGAAUUGAAUGAGAAAAGUCCAAUACAAUGACAUUAAACUAGCCUAAUAAGGUGGGGAUAACUGAGACCUACUCCAACCCUUGAAGUAAAACUCAAAUUUUAGGUUCAAAACUUUCUCAAAUUGCUCCAACCUUUGGGGCAAAUAUGAGUUUUAACCCAAAACUCAUUUAUGGGGCAAAUUUAGCACACGAUUCCCCCUAGGUUAGUGGGGUUGACCCAUCAUAUAUGUGUGGUUUUUUUUUAGUUUUAUAUUUAUAAAUUCAUUGAAUCCAACGACUAAGAUCUAAUAUGAUCAAAUACAACGGUAAAAGAAAAGAUCUAAUGUUCCAAAUUUAAAUCCAACGGCUAAAGUAAUUAAAAAAUAUAUUUUAGGUGUUUCAUAUUCUUUCAUAGUGGUCCAUGAGUUUCAUUGGGUCGGUUUAGUGAUUUUCAAUAUUUAACAUAAUCUAAAUAUUUUAAGUUAAAAUGGUCAUAAAAUUAAAAUAGGAUAGCCUACAUAAUUUUUAUUCUUAAAGUUACUUUAAGAAAUAAAUUCAUUCUUAACAAUGUCAGGCUAAAAAUUUAGCCCAUAAGGGUUAGAGAAGAAAAACUGUUUCCGAGUUAAAACCUAACGACUAAGAUCUAAUAUGAUCAAAUCUACAAGUAAAAGAAAAGAUCUAAUGGUUCAAAUUUAAAUCCAACAACUAAAGUAAUUAAAAAAAUUAUUAUAGGUGUUUCAUAUUCUUUCAUAAUGUUCAAUGAGAGUUUCAUGGGGUCGGUUUAGUAAUUUUUCAAUAUUUAGGAUAAUCUACAUAAUUUUUUUUUAAAUUUACUUUGACAAAAAAAAAUCAUCCUAAAUUCAUUUUUUAAUAAUAUCAGGCUAAAAAUUUAGUUCAUAAGGGUUGGAGGAGAAAAUUUGUUUCUGGGUUAAAACCUAAAUUUUUCGGCUUAAAAAUUUUUGGUUUUAACCUCAAGGGUUGGAGAUAGUCUAAGGUGGGGAUAACCAAUGGCCAUUCAACAAAAAGGCAGAAGAAAAAAUCCUAAUCUUCAACCGCAAAGGCUAACCGCUGUCACCUUUAUCAGCUCGCCAGCGAUCACAAAGGUAGCCACCCGAAAAAGAUUAAUUUCGCAUUGUAUUCAAUGAAAGUAUCCCAGUGCAAAACAAUUCAACGUGCAAUAAAAACCGCCACGAAGAAGAGCCAACAAAUCCGGACCACAAACACAAGCCCCUGCAAGUUGAACAAAAAGCCAAAACAAAUGGUAAGGGAUGGGGCUAAAGGGGCAUCUAAACACCGUCGCUUUGAUAAAAGCCGCGACAAACUUGGGCCCUGAUUUGAUGCAUGAAUAUUAAAUCUUCAAAGCUGAAACUCAACCCUUUAUUGUUAUGCUGAUUUAAGAACUAAAUAGUCAAAAUGGGGAGAUGAGAUUGGAUUAAGUGUAAGGAUAUAAUUUUUUUAUUUUAAUCUUGUAAAGAAUUAUCAAUUUCUUGUUAUAAGAGGAAUUUCACAUAUUUUCACCCAGUUUCACUUUUCUUUUAUUUAAUUUAAUUUUUAGCUGACGAGCCGGAUUUGGAUUAGAGAUUUUUCCUACUGACCCCAGUUCGGGCGUCACAAAAGUAGCCUUCGCCUCUAGUCGUCAUCUAGCCUAUGGAUAGAGGGCCCCACAAGUUAACUAAAAUAUAAAUUCAUGAUUACAUCAAUAAAUAGUUGGGUGCUAUUAUUUUUGUCUUGAAAGACAUAAUUAAUAUUAUUAUAUACUCCCUAGUGCUUAGCCCACAUCAAUUAAUUUGUCAAAAUGUUGUUCAGCCUUAACAAUUAUUUUACCUGUAGGUGAUUAAGUGCGUAAUUUUAUGACUAACUUUCAAAUAUAACUUAUUGUUGCCGACUGAUUGAGCAACGCUCAAACUUAUAACAGAGUUUCAGAAACUAAUUUAUUGUAAGCAAUUGAUUGAUUGACUCGCUCAAACUUAUGACGCAUGUGUACCCUUCUUCAAAUACUGCGUGAAUGAUACACAAAUUUCAAUACUUAUUAAUGGGAUCAUAUAUAUUAUAAAUCAGUUUGUAAAUAUUAUUUUUGAAAAAAAAAUCAACAUGAGCUAUGAAAUCUGUUGCUGGCUAUUGGCCCAUUUUCGUGAUUAUUGAAUUUGUUGAGAUACUUAAGCCUUAUGUAACGCUCCUGAGAGAAAAACAAAAGCCAUGUGUUGUGUCCUGGCACCUUGUCACCAGUGUUUAUGAUUGAUUAUUGCAAGUUGGGGCAUGAAGCUGCUACAUAAUUUCUCAUUACAAAUUGAAUAAUAUUAUGUCCAUCAAUGUUUCGUCAACCCUUGCGGGCAGCCCUUGGACCUUUCUGUUUGUCUUGCCUUUCCUCCACCGACCGCCUUGAAAAAAAGGUGUGAACUGAUGACGAUGCUCCCUUAAUUUGUCUUCCUUCUUGUGUGAACGCGUUGAAUUUUUGUACGCGGAAGGUAAAGGUCCUUGAGUUUAGAAAAUGUGAUUUUAAUCUUGGUUAAGAUUAUAGUUAGAAAAAUGUCUUAUGCAAAAUUAAAUAUUGAUUAUAGUUCCUGAUUAUACAUCCAUGUCAAUAUAUAUUAUCCAUGUCAGCUUUUAUUUUUAUGGGUGGUUUUAUUGAUUCUAUUUUCCCAACAUUGCCCUUAUGCGAUGAUGGACAAUAACAAAUUUUAAAUGCUGAGGUAUGAGUGUGCAGUUCUUGCUAAAUAUCCGCAAUAAACAAACGAACUAACUGAAUAUAAAACUUUACUAAAUGGAAUCAAGGUUCUAAAAAACGCUAGGCGCUAGUCGGGCGGCGGGCUAGCGCCUAGCGCCUAGGCGGCCUAGACGGAUUUAGGUAAAUUUAUUGUAUAUCUUGUAAAUAAGUGCAUAUUGACGCCUAAAAAAAACUAUACUUGUAUGGAUAAUAAAAUAAUGAUAAAAUGCAAAUUAGGUACACUAUUUCCAUAAGUAUUGGAUGAACUUGUAGUAAAUCCAUCAUUUGCAAAUUAGAUACACCAUUUCCAUAAGUAUACCACCAUGAAACCAAAAAAAGAAAAAAGCACGCAAUUAAUAAAAAAUAAAAAAUAAAAAAAAUCUCCUAGGACCGCCUAGCCCGCCUAACCCGCCUAGCCGCCCAGCCCGCCUAGGCCCAACCCGAUUUUUCCUCCCGAUUUGCCUAAAAACGCCUCGGUUGCUAAGCGCCCAGCGCCUAAGCCGUUUUUUAGAACACUGAAUGGAAUUGCCAAGAAGGCUACAUGAACCAAAAAACUACAUUUUGAUUGACUUAUUUUCUCUAAAUAACAAAGUUCUCUAUUUAUAAUAAACUAACCUUAAUCCCUAAUAAGCAAGAAAACGAAAACCUAAUUCUAAUUGGCUAAGCCCAAAUCUAAACUCUCUCUCUAUCACUUGCUAAAGAUCUAAACUCUCUGGGCAUGUACAGACCGAGGUGAGGUCCGAUUCAAGUGAAAUUUCUCCUGCAUGACUCCGCCAUUCACGACCUAGGUAAGAUUCGAGUCCAUCAUUUCCCUUCAUAUCGAUCAGAUAGCUUGAUUUCUGAGUUACCAUGUGAAAAAUAAACGUGUUUUGGUGCAGAACCACUGUUCUAAAAAUCCUCACCUAGCGCCACCUAAGCGCUAGGCGGUUGGCCACCGUCCCGAUUAAUGCCUAGGCGUUUGAAAAUUAAGAAAUGGCACCUAGACCUGUUGAGGCACCCACCUAGCCCGCCCAAACUCGCCUAGACACUUGCCUAGGUUGCAACUCACUUAGAUAGAAAAUAGAUAACUUUGCUUUUGCAUUUUAUUGUUUUCAAUAAAUGUAAGAGGCUUAUUAAACACUUAAAUAAACACACUUUAUAUGUUUAUUGCCCAUAUUUUUAUUAUGUUCCAAUACUUCAUAAUAUAUAUGUCAUUUUAUUUUCUAAUUUAUGAUGAAAUUAUAUAUAUUUUAAGUAUAAACAGAUACUUAUUUACACUAAAUACAACAGAUUUACUUAAAUCCGCCUAGCCGCCUAGGUGCUAAGCUCCAACCCGCUGCCCAACUACCAUGUUGGGGAUGAACUUCUCCAGAUUUUCAAGCGACUUUUGAGUCGUUUCCGGCCACGGUCGAGGAAACCAAAGGUAUAUUUUGAUUCCUUGUUCUCCGAGCUUCGAUUUGAUAAAUGGGAAGGCUAUAUUUAGUUAAGUAUUUGGGUUGGUCAGAGUUCCGGUUGCCGUUUCCCCAGAAUCUGGCGGUUGCAAUGGCAACCUGCAGGAGAAUAAGAAGAAGAAAAAAAGAAAAAAAAAGGGGCUUAUCUGGAUCCAUGGGCCUAAGUCCAAAUCCGACCCAAAACUUUAAGCUUAAGCCUUUGGGCCUUUGUCCCACCGGCCCAUUUUUGAAAUGGGCUCAGAAUAUUCUGAGAAUAUUCUUUGGAAUAUUCCUUGGGUUGACUUUUUCAGAAAUUUCUCGAAACCUUCCUAGGCUAAUUUCAACACCCUGAGUACGUUUUUGACAUCCAUUUAGUGAAAUUCCAAGGUUUAACAUGGUGACCACCGGGACGUCCUGGUUGACUUUUGUUUGGGUUGACCGUUAUAAAAAUUGUCUGUGACCUCUCUUAGCGUAAUUCGACGCGCUGAUUCCAAAUCCGCCGUCCGUUUCUCCAAAUUCAAUUUUUUUUAAUUGAGUUUUACUAAUGGGUCUCAAUAUUAUGCUUAGGUGCGAUUACUAUUAAAGACUCACUAUCCUAGUUCGAACGGUUGCAAUAUUGAAAGUAUCUGUGAGUGGGUCUUUGCUUUUAAAUAUUAUAUAUUUAUUUAGUUUCCAUUUAUACAUUUGAAAAAGGAUUUCCUAUGUAUGCCUAGAUUAGACUAAUGUUUAUAAGAAUUAGCGAAAUAACAGAAAUUACGAAAUUAUCCUAAAUCUUACGAGAUGCACAGGUAUGUGUACUUGAUGGGAUUUUAAUUACAGCCAUGAUUAAUAUUUUAUUUAUUAAUAUUAUGUCGAUGUGAAUUAUUGAUUUACGGUUGCAUGAUUAUAUUUACGUUAUUUGCUCAUCGUUGAUGCACCGGUGUUAGUACUUGCCUGGCCAGGGCCAAUGUUUCACUUGUAUGUGCACAUUGCACCGUACACUCACUUUGGAUAUAUUGUAGGUGCCAGUCAUGUCCUAGAUUGCUAUGGCAAUUAGGACUUGUAUGUACUGCACAUAGCGCCAGUUUUCACGUGAUUGUAGUACUAUAGCGUAAAUCAUUAUUACACCCUGUCAUGUUCAUGUCAGAAUACCUCUGCAUGAACUCGUGUGUCAGCAUGUGUCGAUGAGCACUCAAUAUGAUAUGUUUUCUUAUGCAAGAUUAUGUGAUUACGGACGCCAUGUGCGUACUUAUAAAAUUUGUGCCAUAUUGAUUUCUUAAGACUUUGCAGGCUACGGUAAGUAUUUUCUUACUAUACGUAGCAUUUAUAUUUUGGAAACUAUACUUGUUUUACGACAAGGGGUUAUUAUGUUUUCAAAAAGGUUUUUACAAAGCUUUGUUUUUAGGCCCAUUCAUCCUUGUUUUUUGCGCAUCCAGGUUGUAGUGCUGAGCUUUCGUAUUGACGAGAAUUCUUGGCAAAUCUUGGUGUUGGAGAUUACCUUCAAUGGUAAUUUUCAUCCAACUUUAUUGUACUUUACUUAUGCUUUGACAUCACGUGUGAAAUGGGUUCAUUCCCGCUCACAUGUGCACUCUUGUGUUUAGACACUUUUAGUUUUAAAUUUAUUCACCUUUUUCCACAUCACUUUAUGGCUUCAUGACCCUUCAUGUGUCGGCCAACAUAGCUCGAUUCAGAAUCUGUGGAUGCAAAUUUCUUCCUCCUUGAUCUUGGACAAAAUUGCACCUACAAAACAAAUCACACCUUAGGUCAAGGCCAAGAGCCUCACGCGUCCACAAUGAAUGAUGGGGGCUUUGGUCAAAGAAUCCCCGAUGCCAAAGUUAGAAUUUUGAGGGAAAAGUGUUUGAAGAAUUGUGUUGAAUUUUGCUAGAGAACUGGAAGUGAGUUUUGGAGAGAAUGUAAGGCCUUUUAUAGGGGUGUGGCCGGCCUCCUUGGGUGAGAAAGGACUGGCCACUUAGCUCUCUUUGUGGGCUAGGUUCUUGAUUUGUGUUUAAUUAGGUAUAAUUGAAUAAUUAACAAAUUAAUUAGCCAAUUAAUAGAAUAAUAGCCUAAUUGAUUAGCUAAUUAAUAUAAUAAAAAGGGAAAGAUUUGGGAGUUACCUUGUGGAGACAAUUUGAUGAGGAUGGAUGAAAUAGGUUUUGAAUUGUUACCUAUUUUAGGCACUUUUGACUUGGUUUAGGGAUGAUUGCUCGCUGCUCGCGCGUAGGAAUCCCAAUGUGCCUUAAGGGUAAUUUUGUCCCCUUUUACCCAAAAAUCCACGUGUCUCCUUGUGAUUAUUUUUGGCUCCACAAAUGCCUCCACACAUGCUGGGCUGCUCGCAGGAAAGGGUUGCAGGUGUAGAGAUCUUCUUACUUUAUGAAACUUAGGACUGUUUCCUAUUUUGAUGUAGAUUCCAUCUUUAAUAGAAAAUUAGAUCAUUCUAGGAAAGUGAAAUAAAUUUCUCUCAAAGCCUAUUUAAGUAUACCUUAAGUGGGUUAUUAAAUACACUUUGGAGAGUGAUUUAUUCUACCCUACAAGAGAGAGAGAGCUUAGAGGAUAUUUGUUCCCCCUCGUAUAACAAUCUUCUACAUCUUGCCCGUGCAAAUGAUCAUAUUUUGUUGCUUACUUCGUCUUCUUCUUGCUUCUAGGUAAGAAAAUUUUAUUUUUCUUGUCUUCAUAACUUUUUUUGAAAGUCUCGGGGCUUGAGAGUGACUCAACAGGGGUUGAGGUGGCUUGAAAUUUUUUUUGGAAAGACCAUGACAUUGUUGCCAUGGGUCAUGGUGUGUCAUUGGAUGGCUAGGCUCAACUCGGGCUGUGAGGAGGGAGAGGAUAUGAGGGCGUCAGUCCCCUGUCAGCUGAAUUUAGGCUGCGAGGCCUUUGGGCCGAGAGGGAUGGUGGGGGAGCCAGAGUGGGCUGGGCUCCCUUUUUUGCCUUUUUUUUAAAGGCUGGGCUUGGGCCCGUGCCUAAAGGAGAAAAGGAAGAAUGAAGCCGAGUGCCUCUUUUGGGCCGAGGGGCCUACUUGUGUUUUUUUUUUUUUUGAAGCAACCGUCUAAUGAAUUUUCCUUGCAACUUUGUAGAAUUUUUUCAAGCAUGUCUUCCUUGAACCUCAAGAAUGAUGAUUGUGUGCCGCCAUUGUAUCGUCAAGGUGGGUCUUUGAGCAAGGUUGGCUACUUCAAGGUUGUUCACAUCAAGAUUAGCUCCGACGACUUGUUUAGAGACUUCUUCGAAGCUUAUUGGCAUGCUAUUCCGUCGGGAGUGCGCGUGAAGUGUGUCAAAGAUGGUAGCAGCCAUGAGCCAUGUGAUGGGGCUUGGAGAGUCAUCAAGUUCCACCCCUACUAUUUUGUAUUGGGGUUUACCUUUCCUGUGCUGUGUUUUUUCCAAGAAGUACUUUGCUCCAUGAGAUGUGCCCCCGCUUAAUGUUCUCCGAAUGCGGUCCACGUGAUGGUGGGAUUCCACAAUUUAAACUAAUUAUUUGACUUAGAUCUAACCGUCAACACUUCUUUGACAUAAGUCACAUUGAGGGAGUUGGGCAGCUGCAAUUCCGCCAUAGACUUUUUGACAACUCGAGCAAGGGAGAUCAUGACUGGGCCAAUGAAACUUUGGAAGUGAGUGGAGAAUGGGAAUAUAACUCUUCCCCUGAGCUGCAUGUGCCAGGGUCUUCAUAUCUGGUAAGUAAGCUGCUUAACCUUUCGACUGCUUUGUACUUGUGCUAAUACUGCUUCUAUUUUUCUAAUUGCCUUCCGUUGCUUUUGUAGAUUCCGAGUUUGGCUCAACUUCUAAGACUUCUCCGGACAUGAGGAAAUUGCAUAUUGCUCUUGGUAUUCCCUCUAAGUAUCGUGAGUGGCGUUGGCUUCUUAGCCCUCUUCAUAGGGAGAAAGGUGGGUUGCCCCCGAGAGAAGAGAUAAAACGGAUCAAGGCUAAGGCGUUGGCUCGUUCUAUCACUCCGGUGGAGCCUACUGCAAAUAAAGGUGGGAAAAAGAUACCUUCCCUGCCUGCUUAGGAGACACCUGCUGAGAAGAAAUUGAAGGCUUCUUCCACUGCUCACAGAGGUUCACUGGCUGCUCAAGAGACGUCUGCUGAGAAGAAGUCAAAGAUUUCCUCCACUGCUCACGAGGAUUCACCGGCUGCUCCCAAACUUAUGAUUGAUUUGACCUCCUCCAAGGGCGAGAAAGAAGAGGUUGCUAGAUCUGUGCCGGUGACGCCUGCCGCUCUGAAGGUUACUAGUUCGAUUGCUGAUAUGAUUGCCCAGCAUAGAAGCUCAUCCGUGUCUUCGGUGCCGAAGUUUGUGCCAAAGCAUCCAUUUGGGGCUAAGUCUGGUUCACUUUUGGAGAUGCUUGCUAUUAUGAAGAAUAACAAGAUGCCCCUGCCUGUUAAAGUGGCGUCAAAACUUUUUCCCUCUGCUGCUGAAACCGACUCGUCUGCUUAGAAGAAGGAAAAUGCUUGAGAAAGCAGCUGUGAAAAAUCCACCAAGAUGGUUUCUGGGGAAAUUGCUGAGAUUUGUGCGCUUUUGAAGCCAGAUCUGCUUGAGGAUAUGGAUAUAUGUCCCAAGUUUGUUGAUGGUGUCAAGGAGAUUGUUCACCUCAGUCUCUUCAUGAAGCAUAUGUCGGAGUAUAGGAAGACUGUUUUGCUAGCCAUGAUGCAGAAAACAACGAUUCUGGCAGCCGAGUCUAUGUUCCUUGAUUAAGAGAAUACCAAGGCUACCAAGGAGGUGGCAAGAACUAUGGCAACCGAAGUUUACUCCUCGGCCGAGAAAGUCAAGAAAUUAGAAUCUGAGCUUGCUGCUUUGAAGAGGUCUAACAUCUAUGCCCCCACUUCUCCACAGUUUGAAACCACUCGCCAAAAGAUCGUGGAUUUGAAUACUAGGCUUGACGUGAUCCAAGUAAAGUAUGAAAUUGCAGAGAAGGAAAUCAGGUGUUACAUACCUCAAAUUCAAAAUCUUGAGCGCUCUAUCUCUGAAUUUCGCUCCGCUGCUUAUGCAAGGGAUAAAGAGCUGAUCGCUGCUUACAACCAAGUGAUCCACUUCAAAAAGGUCAUUGAUAGACUCAAGCCUCAAGUGUUAGAGCUUCAAGGUGCUUUAAAGCUCAACGAUAAUCUGAAGAAAAAAAUGGAGGAGCUACAGCGGAUUCGUGCUUGUCUGCUUAAGGAGAAUGAGCAGUUGAAGGGUGAAAAGGUUGGGUUCAAGGCUUCUUUUACUUAGAGUCAAGCUGGGUUAUGUGGACCAUCUCUUCGAGAGGCCGUUUGACUUUGAGUUUUCUGGUAAAGACUUCGAGACCUUCUCUAUUUCUCCGGAAGAUUUGCUCGCCUUCAUCUUUGAGUCUUCUAUUGGUGAAGGGGUCGGAGAGGUUGGUGCCCAAGUUGGGGCAGCUGGUGGGGAAGCAUCGGAUGGUACCGUGGCUGAGAGUGUUGCGGCUACUGAAGGUGUGACGACUGAGUAGUCAUGGGAUGUCCAAGCUACUGAAUAAUAGUCUUCUAAGUAGCCUUUAGGAUUUUCUUUUUUUUCCUUGUUGCUUUUGCUUGAACCUCUUUGAUCUUUGCUAGUUGUUUAUCAAUUUUGCUAGAAAAUUUAAUAAACUUGCUUCCCUUGCUUUUCUCCAUCUUCGCUUCUUUUGUUCAUACCUUUAACCUUUAGACUUUAUAGACCAAUGGUGAGCAUGCUACUUUUCUAUAAGCAGACAAGCUCGCGUAGCGUAUACAACUGUAGGUGUUGGUGUAGAACUUUGCAAAGUUAUUAACCAUAGGGUUGGCAACCGGAUGUCUUACUUACAGAAGCAGACAAGUCCGCGUAACCACUAGGUUGUUAACCUUGGCUUUUUCCAAUUUCAUAGGAUGCGUAGCAAGUAUCACAACACUUUAGGACUUGGUGUAGGUUGUUCCAUGCUUCGCAGAGGUGAAGUUUAUCGACUAUAUAGCAUGUCGGUAGUGGAUAGGAACUUCGUAUAUGCACGCUAGAUUGUUUAAUCUUUCACAAGAAUGUGCAGUUGUAUAAGUCUAAUGUGACUUUACUGCUUGAAGGGCAAGCCGUAGGCAGUCUUCUAAAAACCGUAGGCUACCUUAGUGCACUCGGUAAUAGCUUUAGUUUUCCAAGGCAUCCAUCUAUAGGGCGUAUUGGGUAAUGUGCCCCAUCUGCCUCUAGGGCCCGGUUCCCAACGAAUUAGGCCAAAAGACCCAUAAUCCUUCAGGUAACUAAGCCUUGAAAAAGACCAUUGUGGCUACUUUUAGGAAUCCCGGUGUAAGCCAUCGUGCAUCUAGUUAUACUAGGGUAGUCUAGCUCAUCCACGUCUGGAUAUUCGGAGUGUUAGUUUAUCCUCCCACUUUGGAAAGCAUGAUUGGUCUAUCGGGGGGUGCAAUUCUUGCGAUGAGUCCCUUAAAAGGGCGCGAUCUUCUUUUGAAAUGCAAGAGAGAUAAGUUGUUGUAGACAUAUAGUCGAGCCAGUUUGUAAAUUACUUCUUAAUUCCUCAUUAAAAAAAAUGAGUGAAACGAACGAAUAAUUUAGCUGUAAAAGACUGCAUAAUAAUUAGAUAGUCCUUGGUUUGCGAGGUGGUGCCCGUUUAGCUGAUUGAGUCUUCGGGUCUUGAUAUAGUGGGAGGUCAUACAUGGUACUUCCUCAGGUUAUAGGUGUUCCAUUGCUUUUCAAUCUCUUUGUCGUUCAUGGUGGCGAUAAUGUAACUAUCCUUGCCACCUACUCUGUUGAUCUUGUACGGACCUUCCCAUAUGGGAUCCAUCUUUUUGGAGCCUUCUUUACGGGCAGUGAUGAAGGCUCUUCUUAGGACUAGAUCUCCGAGUUGAAAUUGUCGAAUCUUUGCCCUUUUGUUAUAGCUGGAAAGAAGCUGGUGCUGGUAGGCUGCGAUGCGAGUGAUGGUCUGCUCUCACUUUUCCUCUACCAGAUAUAAGCUUGUGGCCAUCUCGUUACUGUUCCGCUCAACAUUUGGCAGUACAGUGUUAUUGCUUGGCACGAUAAUGUUGGGAGGAAUGGUUGCUUCCGAGCUAAAUGCCAAAGAGAAAGGAGUCUCACCGGUUGCUUGUCUUUUAGUGGUAAUAUGCCCAAAGACAUCCAGGGAAUUCGUCUAGCCAUUUUCCCUUCUUGUCAGUAAGGGAUUUCUUGAGGUAGUCAAGGAUUGUCUUGUUGGAUGCUUCAGCUUGCCCAUUGCCUUAAGGAUACCUCGGUGUGGACAUGUGUUGCUUGAUGCCAUACUUUUUGAAGAACUUCGCUAAAUCUUUGUCCAUGAAUUACGGGCUGUUGUCGGUGAUGAUGGACUGAUGAAUGCCAAAUUAACAAAUGAUGUUCCUCCAAAUGAACGCUAUAUAUCCAUAUGAGUCGUGGUUGUCAUGGGCUCUGCUUCUACCCAUUUGGUGAAGUAAUCGGUUGCCAAGAUCAUCAUGCCUCUGCCCCCAGUAGUAAGCGGCAUAGGUCCCACUAGGUUGAUCGCCCACUGUAUGAACGGCCAAUGACUCGUCUGCAGAUGUAGUUCGCUGGCAGACAAUGCAGGUACCGACUUGUAGCGUUGGCAGCAGUCGUACUUUUGUACUAACUCUUUAGCAUCUUGGUGCAUGAUAGGCUAGUAAUCGCCCGCGUUGAGAGCCUUUUGUGCUAAGGAUCGGCCUCUGGAAUGAUUUCCACAAACGCCUUCAUGGAUUGAGCUUAGAACCUUCAAGUUAUCAGGAGACGCUAGGUAAUAGAGAUGUGGUCCGGUGUAGGAUCUUCAGAUAAGAAUGUCGUUCCACAUGUAGUAGCGUGCUGCCUUUACUUGGAGCUUUAUAGACUUCAAUAUUUCCGUAGGGAGUGUGCCAUUGACCAGGUAUUCUAUAAUAGAACUUUGCCAGUUGGGAGUUAUACUAAACUAUGACACCUCGGCUGCCAGCUCCACUUCUAUGCUUGGCUUGUCUAGAUACUCCACCAGAAUAGAAUGUUUGAGUUGGUGGUCAAUAGUGGAGCCAAGGCCGGCUAACGCAUUCGCGUGAGCGUUGUCUGCUCACGAAACUUGAGUGAGAGUGUAAGUCUGAAAUGCCUCAAGCUGCUUACGUACCUUCUCUAGGUAUUGCGCCAUCCUUGUAUGUUUUGCCGUGAACUCCCCAGUAGCCUAGCUGGUGAUUAGUUGGGAAUCAAAAUAAAUUGCAAGUUUCUUCAACGCCAAGUCUUUUGCCAUCCGAAGGCUAGCUAAUAGAGCCCCAUACUAUGGGGCUUCAUUGUUGGAUGCUUAGAAGCCUAGAUUGAUCACCUGCUCGAGCAUUUAACCAUCUGGGGUGACAAGAACCACGCCUACUCCCGAGCCUUAGUAAUUGGAUACACCAUCAGCAUACAAGUGCCAAAAGUCUCCAUUGGGGAAAGCAGGUACGGUUAAGGCAUGCUUGGCUGCUUCUGGGGCAACAUUAGGCUCUCUGUUGCGUCGCCUAGGCUAGGCGUGAAUUAUGCUAUGAAGUCUGCCAAGGCUUUGGCCUUUAUCGUCGUGCAAGAUCAGAAAACUAAGCCGUAUUGGCAAAGUUCCAAUGCCCAUUUCAUCACUCUUUGAGAAUCGUCUGGACCAUGUAAGAUUGAUCGUAGAGGAUAUUAAGUUAUGACGAUGACUGUAUGAGCUUGAAAAUAUGGUCUGAGCUUCUGAGCCGCAACAACUAGCGCCAAAAUUAAUUUUUCGAUCUUCAGGUAUCUAGUUUUUGCAUCAAGAAGAGCUUUAGAAGUGUAGAAUACCAAUAGUUGGGCCCCUAACUCUUCUCGUAUGAGGGCAGAGCUCACUGCUACUUCUGAGAUUGUCAAGUAGAUGUAUAAGUCCUCCGCUGCUUCCGACUUGGAUAGUAAGGGAGGUGAAAUAAGAUACUUCUUCAGGUCUUGGAAAUUUCUUUCGUAUUCUUCAUCCCAUUUGUCUCGUUAUGCCCUCUUGAUGGCAUUGAAAAAAAGCUUGCAUGGAUCGGUGGACUGUGAAAGAAAGUAAUUGAGGGCGGUUGGUUGUCCAGUCAAGCUUUAGAUCUCUUUCAAGGUGGUGAGAGACUUCAUUUCUAGGAUCGCUUAAACUUGCUUGGGAUGUGCUUCGAUUCCUCGUUGUGUUACUAGGUACCCAAAAAACCUGCCUGAAGAUACUCCAAAUGUGCAUUUGGUGGGGUUAAGCUUCAUCUUGUAUUUUGUAAGAAUAUUGAAAGUUUUCGCCAAGUUGCGGAUGUGGUUUGACCGAUGCUUGCCUUUUACCAUGAUGUCAUCGACAUAGACCUCCAUAGUUACCCCAAUUUACUUCUUAAACAUCAUGUUCACUAACCUUUGGUAAGUGGCUCCCGCAUUCUUGAGGCCAAAGGGUAUGACUUUGUAGCAAUAGGUGCCUCGCUCGAUCACGAAUGUAGUUUUCUCCUUAUCAGGCUCGUAAAUGGCUAUUUGGUUGUAGUCGGAGUAUGUGUCUAAGAAAUUGAGUAGCUGACUCUAGAACGUUGAAUCUACAAGCAAGUCGAUUCGAGGAACUGGAUAGGGAUCCUUCAGGCAUACUUUGUUGAGAUCAGUGUAGUCUACGCAAACCCUUUAUUUGCUCUUAUCUUUUUUCACAACUAGUAGAACGUUGGCAAGCCAUGCUAAAUGUGCUACCUCUUCUGUGAAUCCAACCUCCAGUAGCUUGUCAAAUUCUGCUUCGAUGAUCUCUACUCAUUCGGGCGCAAAGUGUCUUCUCUUUUAGAUCACUAGUGUGAUAGUGGGGUCGACGUGCAGCUUGUGGCAAGCUACUUCAGGGUCGAUGUCGGGCAUGUCAGAAGGUGACCAUGCAAAGACAUCAUGAUUUUCCUUAAGGAAAGCCGUGAGUUCUUCCUUCUUAGCUGGGCUCAAGCGUGAGCCAAUUCUAGCCGUCUUUUCUGGCUGUUGGGGAUCAAGAAUGAUGUCCUUGACGUCCUUCUUGGGUUUCCAUCCUUUCUUGUUUGGUUGCGCGUUUGUUUGGACUCCAUCUUCUUGAUCCGCUUUCUGAAAUUGCUAUUUGGUAGCUUCUUCAUCCUUUUAGACCUCGGUAACCUCUACGGGGGUAAAGGUUUUCUUCAUUGACUCCUUUAAUACUUGCAGUGUAUCGUCGGGAUACGGCCUGGUCAAACUUGAUUUCUUCGAUUCCUCUUCCCAGGAUGCGGAAUCAUAUUUUUUGGUACUUGACAGAAGUGACAGCAUCUAGCUUGAUUAACCAAGGUCUCCUAAGAAUCUUACUUGACAGAAGUGACAGCAUCUAACUUGAUUAACCAAGGUCUCCUAAGAAUCUCAUUGUAGGGAGAUGGGUUACUUACGAUCGUGAACGUCUGCUUUGAGACCACUGGCGGUGUUUUCACAUCAAGGGUAAUGUAAUCGAUUGUAGUUGAGGUAUACCCUUUGAAUCUGGUGAGUACCUCUGCUCGGCAUAUGAUUUUGCUUUCCAGACCCAUCUUCUGAAUUACUGAGAGUUGAAGUAAGUUGACUGCACUUCCAUUAUCAACCACCAUUCUGUCAACUAUAGCAUGGGCUAGUCAGACAGAGACCACUAAUGCGUCGUCGUGUGGGAAAUCGACACUUUCUACAUCCUGCUCGAUGAAGCCAAUGAUGGGUCCAGAUUGAGUGUUGACUGCUUGGACUUGGGAGAUUAGCAACGUCUGUUAGAUCUUUCUCUUCUUAGAAUUGUUGGUGGCCCCCAAGUGCUCAGACUCAACGAAGAUGCCAUUAAUCUGAAUCAUCUUGUUUGGUGGAUCUUCAUCUGCAUCCGCCUUCCUUCUAGGCUGCACAGCCGACUUGUCUAAGUAUAUGUCGACUUUUCCUUCUUUCACAAGCUUCUCUAAGUAGUUCUUCCAAGUGUAGCAGUCGUCAGUUGUGACCUGGACAUCGGUGGAAUGUUUAAUAUUUGGUGUGCUCUAACUUGGAAGUGUCUCAUUUUAAUUGCUUUGGCAGCUUGAACCGUGGCUCGUUCUUGACAUCGAGAAUGAUUUGGUGGAUCAAAAUCGAGAACUUGUAGUUCUUGGUUAUCGAACCUCCUUUAGUCGGGAAUCAGUCCAAACGCUUGGCCCCCUGCCUGGUUUUGUUGUUUUCCUGCUUUCCAUCCUCCUUCUUUACUGCCACUUUUUUCCAAGGUUGCUCGAGCGCCUUGUCUACUCGCCGAGCCUAUUCCCAAAGCGCGUGCUUCUCUGCUAAAGCAAAAUAGUCAGCUAGAGUUAGAUAUUCUUUCAUGAUCAACUCUCCAAACAACAGGUGGUAUGCCGGAAGUCUUUUUUGGAAGGCUGCUUUUGCUAUCGAGUUGUCGCAUACAACUAUCUUCGCCUUCUCUGCUUUGAACCUCUUCACGUAAUUACGUAAUGACUCAUUUAGGUUCUUCUUCACAUAGAACAAGUGGCCGAACUUCUUCUUGAUUGAGCGGCAGGAGGAAUACUCUUCGGUGAAAACCAAAGAAAGAUCAUUGAAACUCCUGAUAGAUCGCAGCAACAAAGUGUGGAACAAUCUUGCGCAUCACCUUACAAAGUGAUGGCGAAUAUUUGCACAUAAGGGCAUUGUUGUUCCGAUAAAGGACCAUUGUGCUUCAGUAGUGCUUCAAGUGUCUUUCUGGAUCUCCAUCUCCUUUGAAAGAUGUGAAGUGCGGCAUGCUAAAUUUGCGUAGAGGCUCUACCUGCUUAAUUUCGUCCGUGAAGGAUGACCUGCUCAUAUUGGUCAUGUCUCAUCGUAGUUACUCAUUAGCGACUUUGUUGCAUUGGAAAUCAUGUAAUUGCUCGUUCAUGAGCCUUUCUACCUCUUUCUAAAUUAGCCUUUGUUGGGGUAGUGGAGCUCUCGACUGCCCCCGAUCUUGACCUGCUGGUCUAGGCUACUCUUCUACGUGCUCGGUUCGUCUAUGCCACGGCAGCGGUGCAUGUGGUAUGUUCCUAGCAAGCAAGGGAAUUCUUCGCAGGCUAUCGGUUAAACUUGAGAUGGAUUAAAUGACUGUUUAUCUCCGUUCGUCGGGCUACCUACUCCGAUAUGAGGUGAAGGAUACUCCUUGUGAGCUUAGCCACGAAUGAACACUUUGCCUGGAAGGCUACUCAUGUUGACCAUUAGAGUGUGGCCUCAACCAUGAAUGUAUGCUCGUUCGUGGGCCUAGUUGAGAGUGCACGCUCCUCCACGCGUAAAGAAUGGAGUAUACGUUAUCUCGGGGGCCCAGUCAGGAGUGUACAUUGCCUGAACUCUCGGUUCAUAGCUGGUCGAGUAAUUGCUUACUAGGAUGUUGCUGGAAAUGUUCGUCUGCCCUUGUCCUACUUUGGGACACCUCGUCUGGGGUACGUUGGGUUUCGGUGCGUUGCAAGAGUUAAUUCACCAAGGUCGUCUGUUGUGCAAGGGCACUUGUCAACUCAAUAACUUGUCGAGACAAGUGUUGUUCGCCAUUUGGAUUGGAAGAGCUUGGAAGAAAUGCACCUUCUUGAGUAAUGGAAGUGUGGUAGGCUCCGGGCGCGAGAUGUCAAAUCUGCGGAGAAAUGUGGUGAAAAUGCCCCCGAUUGGACUGUAGGUCCUGAAACUUGGAGUCGGGAUGGUUAUGCUACUCUUGGGCCGACUUGGGCUGCUUGGAGAACCACGGGAGCAGGCUAGGUUGUGGGUAGGCUUGGCCAUGGGAGCAGGCUGCUCAGUGCGUGAUGCAUGCGAGUGCAAGGCUUGGGCCAUGGCUUUGGUGCCAUAAGCCUUGGAUGGCACGAUUUGGGCCGUGGUAGUGGUGCCAUGGACCUCGCCGCGAGUGAUUACCAUGGUGGUCACCACGAUGGUUGCCAUGGUAAAGCCUCGUAGCGGUAGUGCCGCUCCACCUAUGAUCACAUUUAGCCUCGUGGAUCGUCGCGGUCCCAUUUCUUGAAUAUUGGAAUUUUCACUUGUGGAAUUUUCUAAAUUUCUCGCCAUUGUAUAUCUAUUUUACGUUUUAUCAAAGAAUCUUUGCAAAUAAAAAUUUCUAAUAAUAAGAACAUACAAAAAAUAUACAAAUGGACAAGAAAAUAGAAAAACCUUUUAUGCGAGAAUCUUCCACGAGCGUGUGACUCUUAUCUCAAUGAAAGCACCAAUUUGUGGAUGCAAAUUUCUUCCUACUUGAUUUUGGAUAAAAUUGCACCUACAAAACAAAUCACACCUUAGGUCAAGGCUAAGAGCCUCAUGCGCCCACGAUGAAUUGGGGGGCCCUUUGGCCGAAGAACCUCCGAUGCCAAAGUUAGAAUUUUGAGGGAAAAGUGUUUGGAGAAUUGUGUAGAAUUUUGCUAGAGAAUUGCAAGUGAGUUUUGGAGAGAAUGUGAGGCCUUUUAUAGGGGUGUGGCCGGCCUCCUUAGGUGAGAGAUAACCAGCCACUUGGCUCUCUUUGUGGGCUAGGUUCUUGAUUUGUGUUUAAUCGGGUAUAAUUGAAUAAUUAACUAAUUAAUUAGUCAAUUAAUAGAAUAAUUGCCUACUUGAUUAGCUAAUUAAUAUAAUAAAAAGGGAAAGAUUUGGGAGUUACCUUGUGGAGAUGAUUUGAUGAGGAUAGAUGAAAUAGGUUUUGAAUUGUUAAUAGUUUGGGCACUUUUGACUUGGUUUAGAGAUGUUUGCCCGUUGCUCGCACGUAGGAAUCCUGAUGUGCCUCAAGGGUAAUUUUGUCCUCUUUUACCCAAAAAUCCACAUGUCUUCUUGUGAUUAUUUUUGGCUCCACAGAGUCCAGGUGGACAUUCUGGGUUGAGGUGUGUCAUCUCAAUUACAAGUGAAGAGGAAUACCACUAGAUCGUAGUACUAAAUGGCAAAAUAUUCUUCUUUACUUGUAGUUGAUUAAGUGCAUAAUUUUAUGACCAACUUUCAAAGAUAGUGAGUUCGAUACUAAUUUAUUGUAGUCGACUGAUUGAGCACCUUGCUCAAAUUUCUUCACCAUAGCUCAGUUGUAUUAAACCCAAUAAUUUACAUUGCUUCACUCCACAAAAUUGUAAAGAAUUCUUUUAUUUUUUAUUUUUAAAGAAUUUAUGAUUAUUAAAGGGAGGGAGAAGGUUCGAAAUUGUUUAAAAUUAUUACAAUAAUUUAAAAGAUGAGGGAUUCGAACCCGGGACGCAUGGGUAUAGACCAACACCAUUCUUCAAACACUGCAUGAAUGAUACACAAAUUUCACUGCUUAUUAUCAAGAUCAUAUAUAUUAUAAAUCACUCCGUAAAUAUUAUCUAUGGAAAAAAAAAAUUAACAUGAGCUACGAAAUCUGUUGCUGGCUACUGGCCCAUUUUGGUGAUUAUUGAUUUUGUAGAGAUACUAAAGACGUGUGUAUUGCUUCUGAGGAAGAAAAAAAAGGCCGUGUGUAUGAUGUAUCGAAAAUAAUUUCGUGGUUUGUUGCAAGUUUUGAUGAUUGACUGUUGCGUCCUGGCACCUUGUCACUGAUGUUGGUGAUUGUUUGUUGCAAGUUGGAGCAUGAAGCUGCUAUAUAAUUUAUCAAUACAAAUUAAAUAAUAUGAUGUCCAUCAAUGUUCCAUCAAUCCAUCGUGGCAUCCUGGACUAGUAACGCACCAGCAAACAAGUCGCCCAAAUGCUACAGUAGUCCUUGUUGAGAUUGUUGAGAUCAGAUUACAUUGGAUGCUCUGCUGACCAAAGAUGAAAUCGAGCAACAAAGUUUGUACAUAAAACGCGUAAGGCCGGGAAGGGGGCCUAUUGGCUUACUGUGUGUUUGCCGCUACCAUUCACUGUGACCUGUGAGUAGUCAGCUGGCUUUAAUAAAAGGUAUGAACUGAUGGUGACGUUUCAUCUACCUUUCUUCAUGUGUGAACGCGUUGAUUUUUUGUACGCGGAAGGUAAAGGUACUUGAGUUGGCUUCUUCUCUGUGAUGAUUUUCUAGGAAAGCCUGAGCACCUUAAAAUUUUCAAUAACUUAAUAAAUCCCAUUCAUCUCAAGUAUCCCCUUCUCUUUCUUUGAUAUAUUACCAAGCGCUCGCUUCUUUCUCUUCUUUUUUACUCACAAGUUACAAGUCUACUGUUAGUUCCUUGAGAGAAACACAAACAGAUGGAGUGUGUAAUGACUAUCUUGCAGAUGUGCUGCAGAUCGUUAACAUUUUCUUCUCCGUCAUCUGCAGCAGCUGCUGCUGGUGAUGAUGAUGAUGAUAAUGGUAUUGAAGCUGAUAUCCCCCCUCGUCGGGAGAAGUAUGAUGUAUUUAUCAAUUUCAGAGGUGAGGACACCCGCAAUGGUAUUACCAGCCAUCUUCAUGCCGCCUUACUUCAGAAGAAAAUUGAAACCUACAUAGAUAACAGACUUCAAAAAGGAGAAGAAAUCGGACCUGCCCUUCAAGAGGCAAUCGAGAAAUCCACACAGUCGGUGAUCAUUUUCUCACAAAACUAUGCUUCUUCCACAUGGUGUUUGGAUGAGCUUGUGCAUAUAAUCGAAUGCAAUGAAAGAUAUGGCCAGAAGGUUAUACCCGUAUU
Molecule: long non-coding RNA, 57077 nt
Filed under: Malus domestica (apple)
Lineage: Eukaryota; Viridiplantae; Streptophyta; Magnoliopsida; Rosales; Rosaceae
Description: long non-coding RNA (MDOM_LNC003539)
Source: RNAcentral